This 48226-nucleotide long non-coding RNA is filed under the name Malus domestica (apple). RNAcentral describes it as "long non-coding RNA (MDOM_LNC010811)". Lineage: Eukaryota; Viridiplantae; Streptophyta; Magnoliopsida; Rosales; Rosaceae. The record is from RNAcentral.
UUUUUUAGGGUGUUGUUUUAGAAAGAAAAAAAAAUUACUGUUAUAAGGAGUGCAUAACGAGAUUUUAAAGUGCUAAUAAAAGUAAUUUUUUUUUAAAAUAUAGCAUUUACAUAUAAAUAUUAGAUGACAAAAAAUUUUGGGGGCCUUUUGCAAUUGCACGUUUCGUUCUCUCCCCCUUGAUGAUAUUUUAAACUGAUUAUAAUUCAUCGAGUAGGAGAUUUAUACUUGAGUGCAAAGAGAUGAGUAAUGUGCCUUAAUCAACUGACUUAAUGCACGUAUAUUGAUAAUAGGUCUAAGAUUUUAUGCGUUUGAUCCCAUACAAUGUACCAAACCCCCUCCCCCUUUUAGAAACCAAAAACCCCACAUUAAUCCUUAAAACUCACUAGCAUAUGGGCAUACACAAAGUGUGUGAGAAAAUUUUUUAUUUUUGUUUUUGAAAUAGAAGGAGAGAGGAAGAGAGUGAUAGAGAUUGUGGGAGUGGGAACUUUUUAUUUUUAUUAUUUUUUAUUUUUUAUAAUUAGAGAUAUAUUAAGAUUAUAUGUAGGUGAGACUUAAAAAAACAGCAAAAUUUAGUUGUGUGAAAUUACAUUUCUGCCUCAUAUUUCUUAUUCACGUUCUGUUUUAAUUAGAGGGUUAAACUGGUAAUUUCAUAGGAUUUUGGUUAACAAUGAGUGUUUUUUUAAUUAGUAGAGAUAAGCAACCUCUUUGAAAAUAAAGUCUUCUCCCUUUGUCUUAAAAGGUUUAUUCAUGAAUUAAGGAGUAAUCCCAAUACUUGCAGAUGCAGUCUUCUUAGUGCAUUAAAUCUAAAUCAUAAUUAGGAAAUUAAGAAGUCUAAUUUCUGAAAAAUAAAUAUUUUAUAAGUAGUUGAAAAUUUUACCUGGUAGUUCUACUUUUAGGACAUAGUCUUGAUCUGUUUGAAACCAAUCAGUACAGGUUUGGCCAGAGCUUCUGAGACCAGACAGCAAGAUAUCCGACUCAAACUCCCACAGUGGGAAGGCAUCAGAAGGAUCAAAAAAUUUCCCAAACAGCAAAGGACUGAAAAAAGAUGCACCACCAAAGACCUUCUGCACUGUUGGAUUUGUGCUGCCUUGAGCCAUGAAUCUUCUGAACACAUCUUCCCUCAAUAAAACACACCAUUUCUGCGGAGUUUGAUCGUCUCUUACGACUUCAAGCUGCUUCCUACUAGUAGUAGUAGUAGUCAUUGGAGAAGAUUGGAGGAGCUAGAGAGAUCACUUUUGAGUGUAUGGUGGAGAGAGGUUAGAGGGUUGCUUGGUGUUUAUACUGGAAGGAGAAGCACUUUGGAGAAAAGUAGAGCACAAAUUCCCUGCCGAGAAUAUUUUGGAGGGCUGGAAAGCUAUUUGGAAUAUUUUCUUUUUCUAGAUUUUUUCUCAAUGGUGUGAAGAAAUCACUUAUGGCAGCCCCAAGGCUAAGCACGUAACAUGUUCUUCUUUUGUUUCAACCAUGGAUGUUUUCUCAUUUGUCUCUAACGACACAAGGUUGGUUUUUGUUCUUUGGUACACAAAACAAGAAGUUAUGAAGACUAUUUUGUAACCAUAGAUGAGUGCCGAUGGAGUAAUCACUACAUCAAAAUUGGUUUUUUUUUUUUUUUUUUUUUUUUUUGGUCACAUCGCGUGCCUUAAACUGAAUUUAAGACGCACAAGAAAUUUGUGCUAAAAAUAUUAUUAACAAGAAGGAUAAUUUACACACCAUAGACUACACACGAUAAAAGGACCAAUUUCUUGUAGCAUGAAUAUGUGUUAGAAUACGAGUGUCCAAUUUAAAAUAAAUUGACAAUAAGUGCAAAGAUUUUAGAUCUUCUCACAUGAAAUAUUCUCUAACACACGACAUUUCAUGUCUAGAAUUUCCCAAGGAUAUGUAAGACAUGUUUAAUUUAUAAUGAGUGACGUGGAAGCACAUGUGGUUGUUACAUUUUACACGCGUAUAAGAUGCUGCCAUUAUUAUAUUAGAGACUAAACCCUAAACUGUAAACACCUAAACUCGCUUUUGCUACAUCAAAUACACCCAUUGUGCUGUUCUCCAUGCAGACUACCUUUCUUUUCCAGCUAAACUAAAGAGUAUUAAAGUGCCAAUAAGGGAGUUUACCUUUGCUUUUUAUAUACAAAUAUCCCGAUCUGGUACUCAUAAAGGUUGUGGGAAAGGAAUAUUUGUCACACAUUUACAUCUGUUGGGUGUCUUUCUCUCUCUGUCAUGUAAAUGUAAAUGUAAAUGUUUGCACUUCCUCCCAUAAAGAAAAAAAAAAAAAAAAAAGCUUAUGUGGAGAGCUGCUUUUUCCAAAAGAAGGAUUAGUAUCUGCAUGAUUGAUGCUGAAUUUCUAAGUCCACUGGGAAAUUAUCAUGAAAGGUGAGGACUAAUAUCUGCUGCAAUGCUAGAAUAAUUGACCCCUGUAUUGUGAUUCAUCAUCUUCAUCCCCCACUGACUGAAGUACGAUGGGAGCAGCUAGGAUAAGGCAAUUAUUUCUGGUGCUCGAUAAGGCAAUUAUACUCUCUGCUCGGAACAUAAAAUUCAGCGAGUGGAGCAGAGUAAUCUAUUUGUAAAUUCUUUUUCUUCUUGUUAUUUCUCGAUAGGUGGAUGGAUAUAGUAGCGCUUUUAUUAAAGUUGAAGAUAAAAAUAGAUAUUGACUUACUGCCUAAUUGUGAGAGCUCAUAACUCUUGCGAGAUAGGAUCCUAGUUGACUGGCUUGAUACAACAAUUUAUUUAUUUUAUUUUACUCAAUACCAUUUCCUAAUUGGAAAUGGCAUCCUCUCAAACAGAUAAUGGUGAUUCUUUUGUCAUUUGUGUUCUGACACUAAGAUAAGUAUGUAAGUACAUGGUUAGAUACUGCACAUAAUCAAUCGAGUUCUUGCAUAGAGUUUUAUCAACAUGUCAAGCAAGUAACUCUCUAGUUGUAAUAAUGCAAAUUUAUCCUUAAACCUAAGUUAUCAUUGUUUGUCAUGCGGAUAGGUCUGUGAUUUUGUGAUUCUGCAUUACACCUCCGAGUAAGUCGAAUACUCACAAUGUUUUAAAAAUCCUUCAGCAGGAAUUUUAAGUAAUUUUCGAUAACAAGUAUUGAAAGACUUAGGUUUGGAUCAUUAAUGUAAAUGGAUAACCACAUUUGGGGUUUUAUUACGCUGUUGAUGAGAUUAAGAGUAUUGGUUGCAUGUCGUCCAAUAUCCCAAUGUGGGUAGGGUGUUGGGUUUUUACCCAUGUGUCUUGGAUCCCGAAGUCCCUGAUCCCUAAAAUUAUAGUAAUAGUUUUGAACUUUUCCUCUUCUCCCUAUUAAUAGUAAGAUUUAUAAAAUAAAAAAAUAAAAAAAGAGAGUAAGAGUAUUGGUUAUUCGAAAAUUAUUGAAUUGCAUUGUAGUUCCUGUUGAAUUGGUUUUAUUACAGUUGUCCUAAAUUGGUUUGGGGGCGACAAUAUGCGGCUAGACGUUGCUCGUAGUCAAUGAGAUAUUCUGAAAUGAUAACUUAUCAUUAUCAUUUAAGGUAAACUAAAAUAAGUUUUAAAUUCGUUAAAAUAAACAAAGAGUCGAAUUAAUCUCAUUACCUUGUCAAUUAGAAACUAAAUGAUCGUAUACCCAAUACGAAAGCUAAAAGAAAUAUGUUCUAGUGAUACAAAAAAAAGUAAAUUACUAAGAUUUGAAUAAAUUAAUUAAUUAAAUUUAUUAUUCAAAUGAGACUAUAAAAGUUUAGAAAAUAAACCAAGUUUAAAUUGGGCCUAUGUAGGACAUGUUAGUUAAACCACUUUGGGUUAAAUGAGUGACAAAGGCCCAAACAAGGGCCCCUAAACCCUUGGGUUAAACCAUACUUUCUUAGCACUUGGGAGGUGUCAAGAGUUAAAUGGUCUCUUCCUUGAGGUCCUCUCGAAGAAUCCCGGUGGAUUAAACAGAACCCUUCUCUUGAAGAUUCGCUUAGGUACCGUUUGGUACACAGACGGGAUGGAACGGGAUGAAACGAGACUGGACGGGACAGAACAAAGAUUUCGUGUCAUGUUUGGUAUUAGCAAGAUGGAACAAAACGGAACGGGAUUAAAUGACUAACUUACCAUUUUAUUUGACUCUCCCUCUCUCUCCCGUUUCUCUGCUUUCUCUUCUUCCAUACGUUUCAUGUUCUUCGCAUGCCUAGAUUGAUCCCAGUAAAAAUCAAUCUUAGUAAAUCAAACUCAUACUUUCUCUUCAUUUCAUUUUCUUUCUCUUCAAUUCAAACCCAUAAUUCUCUUUUUUUUAAUUUCUUUCUCUUCAAACCAGACACAGAAAAAUCCCAAAUUAUUAUUUUAGGGAAAAACUAAUGAAAUCUCGAAAGUUCGUAUUCAAACAACCACUUUUACUAUAAAACUUACAAAAUUAAACUAAAAAAGGUGAAAUUGAACAAAAUGCCACGUUCUUAGCCUCCACCGGAUGCUCUUCAUCGAUGUGGCAGCAAAGCCCAACAACAUCAAAAUCCUCGGCGCAGAAAGGGCACAAAAACUCAGCCUUUAACUCAUCGUCUCCGUCAGUCUCUUUGUGCGAAAAUAGAUCUGCACGACACAAACCGCAAUCAUCAGCACCAAAAACCACCCAUAAAAAAUCAAGAAAAUCAUCAACAAACAAUGAACACCGCUAGAGGCAGUUUGGAAAAACUCACCGGAUCACGAUUGGUACCGCCUCGACGAGGAGGUCGAGAAGAGACUGCUCCACAAAUUAUCAGAGUCCAUUUUCUAUGCAGUACAAAAUCAAAUCAUGGCGACUAAGUUUCAAUUUACAGAGGCUUCGUCGGAGCGUCGGAGAAGAAGGUGGAGCGCGGAGGUGACGGCGCCAGAGAAGAAGGUUAAGCACGGAGGUGACGGCGCCAGAGAAGAAGGUUGAGCGCGGAGGUGACGGCGCCGGAGAAGAAGGUAGAGCACGAAGGGAUUGAACCGGUAGCCAUGGUUUGGGUUCAUAUGGGUUUGUUGGGAUCGAAUUCGAAGAGAGGGAGGCUACGGGAGAGAGAGGAAGGGUAGACAAUGGAAUUAAUGAAAAAGAUGAAGGGUAUUGUUGUCCAAAAAAUUAUAAAUUUGUGUUCCAUGGGAUGGAACAACCCAUUCCAGGGGAGGUAUGUGGAACCAAAAUUUAACCCAUUUUCGUUCCGUGGGACAGGCGUUCCACACAAUUUAAGCGCACCAAACGUGGGAGAACGCGUCCGUCCCACUCUGUUCCGUCUCGUCCCACGUACUAAACGCACCCUUAAAAGACUAUUACAUAUUAAUUUUGUUUUGAGUAUAUGUGAGGAUUAAAUGCGGAUUAAUUACAAAAUUAUAUUAGUUUAGAUCUAAAAACUUAAAAUAUUAUCAUGCUUUCGACCGCUGUAAGGAAUCAGCAUACAAACAUAGUUAUGGUUUAAACCAACCAUUGCAUGUCGAUUUCGAUGAGAAAAUUUUAAAUUGCAACUGUAUCUCGUUCAACUUUAGUGUCUUCGACACUAGAAGGUGUAAUUUUUUUUUAUAAUGUUUACAUUAAAAAAAAUCAUUGGGGUGAGAGAAUAAAUUGGUUGUGAACUCGUCAUUUUCCAAAUUUGCACUUAAAACCUCUUACAUAUAAGUGAAGAUGAAUGUCAGUAGACCAUAAUAAUAAGUGGCACAUCAAAAAAUAAAUUGGUUAAACGUAUCAUUUCAACUUCAAUUCAAAGGGUUAUCUCGUGGUAUAGGAUUAUAUGCAUCAUAUACGUGCUAAUAUCUUGCACAAUUACAUAAACGUGUCAAACUGUAUCAUUCUGGUUGGACGAGUUGUCCCAAAACAUGAGUUGUAUAUUAAUCAUGUUAAACAAGUCGACAAGAUUUUGACGAACCAAACAUGUUUAUUUCGUAAUGUUUUCAAAUAGAGUUAUCAUGUCGUGUCAAGAAUUAACACUCUUAAAUUGCAGGUCUCACUUAGAAAAGUACGUUAAUAUUUUUUAUCAAUCAUUUAUAAAAAUAUUAAAAUGAGAAAAAUGAUAACAGAAAUGUUAUACUCUAAAUUUAUAACGUUAUCAAAUGCUUCAACAUUACCACUGAUGAAAAAGGAAAAACUCAAUUUUCAAUAUCUUCUACAUGAAAUAAAAUUAGUCGAUAACACAAGGUGUUUGUUUGCCCUCACUAAGUAGGAUUGGACUGGAUUGAACUAGCUGUUAGUCUAAUACUGUGUUUGUUCUAUGCUGAGACUAAUAUUAAUGAGACUAAAGGGGACUAGUAUGGACAAAACCCUUCACUAAGAGGUCUUAGCGAGACCCUCCCAAUAACCAUGAGACUAGCUAAGACUAUCCUCUCUCGUCCUCGUCAUGCUCAACCACCACUCCCGAUAAACUUCUCGUCAUCUCCGGUCACCUAGAUCAUAAUAAAAUAUUAAUAAUUUAUAUAUUAAAUAAUAUAAUAAUAGAAUUUGUUAUUAUACAGCUUCUUAGUCCAACACUGCACCAAACGCUUCACUAAGUUAGUCCAACUUAGUCUAGUCUAAACAAAUCCAACUUAAUCCUUGAAACUAUUCUAAUCCGAAAUAGUUCGGCGCAACAAACGUUGAUAAUAUUCCAAUUUGGACACGCACACACUUACUGUGGUACAAGAGGGGGGAAAAAACUAAAAAAAUUAAAAAUUAAAGGAAAAAGGAAAAGGAAAGAGACGGGAAACGAAUUUAAACCUUUGUCGACAUGUUCUGGUCAAUACCGCCAAUGUCUUUUUUACGAAUUUAACAGCUGACAAAAACAUUCCUUAAGCUCCUCUGGGUAGAUCUGGUCAGCAUCGAACACACAUAUAUAAGGUUUUCACACGAGGAGCCUUUUUUGCAUUCCCAUUUGACAUUUGGAACCCAUUUGGAAAUUUAUUCAAUUUCAGGGCUUUUUCUUCAAGGAAAUUAAGGUGAAUAUUGAAUUUCAGCUCCACAUGAGCUAUUUCUGGUCUGUUUCUUUCUGGGUUUUGAAUUUUUUGUGAUUUGGUUCAAUAUUUUGGCUGCUUUGGAGAAGAAAAAUUCUGGGUUUCCUUAAUUUUGGUAUUGAAUAUCUUCCUAUUGUAUUCAGAGUUCAAAUUCUCACGAGAAAAUAUUUGGUGGGUAGGUGAAGAUUUUCUUGAGGGUAGGUGAAGAUUUGCUUGUAUUUGCUCGAAAUUGGGAUAUUAUAGAUGUUUUCUUGAGGGUAAUCGAAUUGGGUUGGUGCCAAAUCGUGAAAGUUUGAAGCUUUUGUGUGGGUUUUGCGCGAUGAAGGUGUUCUAGGGUUUUGGUUAUGAGUGGUUUUGGGAUUGAUGAAAUGAGAAGGAUAUUGAACGUUGAGAACGACGAUCCGACAAAAAAUGGGUCUUAUGAAGACAAGUCGUUUUAUUGUUUUUGUUAUUCUGCUAUGUGCUUCAGCAUCAAUGAGCUCAGAGGAGAGCAGAACCACAGAGGAAGUUUUUCUCAGUCAACUAGUUGAUCCAGCAACUGGAAAGAUUGAUGGGGACAUGGUAACACAUUAUAUAACUCUUUUUGUUUCAGCUUGAUAACUUAUCAUAUUUGUGAGUUGUAGAUUAAUUCAAUACAUGAUAAAUUUGGUCAUGUUAUAACGUUGUUCGUUUUUAAAUUUAUAUAGACGCAUCUUAUAUAAAGAUCACAAAAGUAGGGGAGCAUCAUAUCAUAUUUGUGGAUGGAAAAGUAGAUUCAAAAGUUGGUUAAAAAGUCUAAGCUUUUGAGUUCGUGGAAGUCCGUGUGGAGCUUAUGAAAUGUUUAAGGGACGAAGCUGUUUUUUACUGAAAUUUAUCUUGAUUAUGUUAAUUUAAUGAGAAUGUUUGGGGGUAACUUAUUUCGAUUCCAGAAGUAGUAUUUGGCUUAAGCAGUGCCUUGGUAAUUUUAACAAAUUAUAUAUUGCAGAUACAAGGCCUUAACAGAAGACAACUUAUAUGAAAAAUAAUACUUUGAUGUGUUUAAGCUUCACUUUCACCAGCCUUCACCAGUGAAGUUUGUAUUCUUCACUAAUAUUCUCAUUUUUGCAAAAGUUGAACUAAAACAUAUGAAAUUAUGUUGCCUGCAGGCACAGCUGUUAUGGAUUAGUUGCAGGGUAGAUUUGAUCCAUAUGACGGAAGCUAUUGAACAUCUUGACUUGUGGUUAGCAGAGGAAGCAUCUAGUGGCACAGAUGAAAUUAAUUCAAAAACACGGUUAUUGGGAAAAGAAAAGUUUCAAAAGCUUAUUAAUGUCCUGCAUCCUGAGGUGAAACAUACUCUUUCAGAUUGUUUAAGAAAACAUAAUCUCUUGUUCAGUGUGUCUGGAGAAGAGGGUGCCUCUAAGAUUUGGUAUGCUAAGUAUAUUGAGUCCCUAUUUCCCAGACCUUAUGUUCCAAGAAGAAAUUUGGCUAGUGAUUUGCCUCAGAGCAUUCUUGAUGUACCUUCUCCAGCCUUUGCACCAAGAUAUUCUCAACGUAGUCCAGCACCAUCUCCUGGUCUAGCACCUUCCACUUCUCAAAGUCCUAGUCCUAGGCCUGCACGCCAUUCUCCACAAGGAUCAUUUUUUCCUUCGGAUCCCAUAAAUUCGAUUCUUCAAUCUUCAGGGCCAGCUUCCGGUUCAAAUAUACAGGAACAUAAAGGACGAGAUGAACAUAAAACAAUUGUUACUGCUGUUGUUAUAACUGCAUCAGUAACAUUUAUUGUUGCAGCAUUGCUCUUUUUAUGCUGUACUAAAAUCUGUAGGAAUGGGAAAAAGGGUAGACAAAAUGAUGAGAGGCCCCUCCUUAGCCUGAGUUUAACUGAUUCUGCUGGUAUAAUUCUCGGAUAUCUUGUUUAUAUUAUCUUCAGUUGUUUGGAGCCCUUCCAUUUCGACAUUUCUUUGAAAUUUUUUAUGUUUCAGGUUCUUCAUACAAGUCUUAUGCUAUGGGAAAUUCAAUGAAAGAAGAGAAGCUUGACCAUCAAUCAUUAGGUAAUAACUCAAAGUCAUCUCUGGAAGGCCUAAUCUUUAAUAGCAUUUUCGCAUCGAGUCUCAUGUUCUCAAUGCUUCACUAAAUGAAAUUGCAGAAUUAGGAUCCCCUGGAGGUGCUUCCAAGUUUGACGCGUCCAACAAUAUCAAUGGACUAGUACCCCCUCCUCCUGGAAUGUCUCCUCUGAAGCCCCCUCCUGGCAGAGCAAAACUUCUCCCACCUGAACCACCUUCUUCUUUUAGGCCUCCUCCCAGCAGGGCUAGUCCUCCUCCACCACCUGUACCUGCUGCUUUAAAAGCCGCAGGAAGUGCAGGCCCUCCCCCACCACCUCCUCCUGCACCACCUGGUCCUCGCCCCCCACCACCUUCUGGUCCUCAUCCCCCACCACCUCCUGGCCCUCGCCCCCUACCACCUCCAAAGAGUGGCGUUCCUCCUCCUCGGCCACCUCCAGCAAUGGCUAUUGGUUCAAAGGUAGCUCGACCUCCACCUCUUGCACCAAAACGUCCACCGGAUGCUGGAUCGGAGGCUGAUGGUGAUGCUCCGAAAACCAAGCUGAAGCCCUUUUUUUGGGAUAAGGUUCUAGCAAACCCGGAUCACUCAAUGGUUUGGCAUCAGAUUAAAUCAGGAUCGUUCCAGUAAGUCUCAGUUUUCUUACCUUUUCUUCUUUGUGAUCCAUGAAUCAUUAGGUAUUAUAAGCCUCUGAAAACAAUGUGGUUCUUAUACAGGUUCGAUGAAAAUAUGAUUGAAACUCUCUUUGGGUAUAACGCCGCUGAUAAAAACAAAAAUGAACUUAAUAAAGAGUCUUCAUCCCAAAAUCCUACGCCCCAGCUCAUUCAACUUAUUAAUCCCAAAAAGGCACAAAAUCUAUCAAUUCUUUUGCGGGCAUUGAAUGUGACCAUAGAAGAAGUCUGUGAUGCAAUUCGUGAAGGUAACUUCUCUCCUUCUUUCUUUCCAUGGCAUCAAAUAAUAUGCAAGUAUUGUCCUUUACUCAUUUUACAGUGUGUCGAAAUGAAAUGUACUAGAAGGGAUGCAUGAAUUUCCUAUCGGGAAGCCUGCAAGUUAGUAAUUUUAUGAAGUUUGACUUGGGUCAGUUCAAGUGGCAGAUGCAAUUAGGGCUAAUGUUACUCUGCAAAUUCUUGGCGAAACAUUUUCUUUGAGGAGUUACUUGUCCACUUUUCAGUACAGCAUUUAGUUGAAACAAAAUUAACCUAGUGCUUGUGGAGUAAGAAAACUUCUGAAGAUUAAGGGAAGGAAGUGAAGGCCGAAGGUCUUGUGGGACAAAGUUUGUUAAUAGGAUUUGAUGUGUUUUGAUUUACUUGAUAUACCUUUCUUCCUCAUUCACGCAGCUUGGAAGGCAGCAAUCUUCGAUGUAGUUGUGAUUUGUUGUUUUUCUGUCAUAUUAUCUUUAAAAUUUUAUGGUGGACUUAGCAGCCGGUAGACUAGAGAUUCUGUACAUCUUGAUGCGUAGAUAGUUUGUUCACUCUGCUUAUGAUUUAUGCUUUUUAUAACCAUUUCCCCCUGAACUGUUCCCCGAUAAUCAAAUUGGACACUGAAAUGCAUCAAUAUGCCUCCCAAACUCAGUGAUUAUGCAUCAAUGUACCCCACGGCAUCUGAUCCAUUAGUUUUUCACUUAAAAAUUGUCAUGCAGCAAGCACAUAAUGUAAUUUCAGGGGUAGAACGUUGAAAUGAAGGAAAACUUAUUUAUUGAUAUCCCCGAUAAGCUACAAAUAUGUACAUAUACAUGAGUCAAAAUAAGCACACAAGAGGGAGCCUUCACAAAGGUUGCUUAGGAGAAGUCUCAGCAGUCGGUAGAGCCCCAGAAAGAGAAGGCACCGGAGGGGGAUCAUUUGGAGCCUCAGUACUGGACAGAACCCUAGAAGGAGGAGGCAUCAGAGGUUGAUCAUUUGGAGCUUCAUUACGCGGUACAGCCCCAGAAGACGAAGGCAAUAAAUGCCUUUGGAACAAACCCACAAAUCUCUGAUGAUCAAGUAAAACCUGACCAUCAGUUUCCUUCAUCUGGUCAAGCUUCCUCUUCAUGUUUGUAGCAUAGUCAUGUGCGAGCCGGUGCAACUGUUUAUUCUCAUGCUUGAGCCCUCUAAUCUCCUGUUUGAGACUCAUCACUUCAGCCGCCAAUGAUUCAACUUGGCGGGUUCGAGCAAAUAGGCGUUGGGCCAUAUUAGACACAGAACCUGCACACUGAACACUGAGAGCCAGCGAAUCCUUAACAGCUAACUCAUCAGACCGUUUGGAAAGUAGUCUGUUAUCUUUGGGAGUGAGAAGGUUCCUGGCCACCACCGCAGCGGUCAUAUCAUUCUUCAUCACGGAAUCCCCAACGGUAAGAGGACCAGUAGGGGAGACAAAGGAUGGGCGCCAUAUGUUGUCUGGAGAAGGCGGGGCUGCCUCUUCAACAAGGUUCAAGUCAAAACGACGGUCGGAGGGGCCAGACAUUUUUUCAAAAGGUGUUGAAGAGAGAAGAGGUCGGACAAAUCAAGAUCUUAGAAGUGCAAGAAUGAAGCUUCUACUGGUGGAGAUUCAAGUGUGCUUUGGAACUUAAUGCCAGCCCCUAUAAAAAAUCUGCACUCGACGAAGCUUCAGAAAUCGAAGAGGCGCCUGCUCAGAAAUUGAAGAGGCGUUUGCUUUCUCAAAAGCUGGGCUGCUUAGAGAUCACGAGGGUUGAUCUCAGAAAUCGAAGAGGCGUUUGCUUUCUCAAAAGUUGGGCUGCUCAAAGACCACGAAGGCCGAUCUCAAAAAUUGAAGAGGCGCUCGCUUUCUCAAAAGCUGGGCUCCCCAGAGACCACGAGGGCCGAUCUCAGAAAUCGAAGAGGCACCUACUUUUCCAGCCUUUUCCAGCCUUGUCAGCACCUGUCACACGCACACUCAGUUUUGCGGAAAUUAUGGGCAUUCUGUCAAAGACUCUGACCAAGAAGGGUAAAAGAAUAGCAAAGAAACAGCACUAACAAAGUUUAGACCCAUAAAUUUUGAAGGUCUAGCUACCAUAUUAUUACCCACAAGGGUAAAGGAACAGUACCACUGCUGGAUAAUUGGAAAGUCCCUGUGUGUCAACCUCUGUGCUUCGUGGCAAGGUAGACUAGCAAACAUGCCCAACCUUUACUCACAUUCGAGAAAACACUCCCAAUAAGAUUGCUUGCUCCAAAAUCGAAGAGGCACCGUCCUCCGAAUCUCGAGAGCCAGACUCCCAACAUGACUACUUUCUUAAAAAUCGAGGAGAGGGUAAAGGAACAGUACCAUUGCUGGAUAAUUGGAAAGUCUUUGUGUGUCAACCUCUGUGCUUCGUGGCAAGGUAGACUAGCAAACAUGCCCAACCUUUACUCACAUUCGAGAAAACACUCCCAACAAGAUUGCUUGCUCCAAAAUCGAAGAGGCACCGCCCUCCGAAUCUCGAGAGCCAGACUCCCAACAUGAUUACUUUCUCAAAAAUCGAAGAGACACUGCUCCCCGAAUCUCGAGAGCCAGACCCCCAGCAUGAUUGCUUUCUCAAAAAUCGAUGAGGCAUCGUUUCUCCGAAUCAAUUGAAGAGGCGCUCGCUUUCUCAAAAGCUGGGCUGCUCAGAGACCACGAGGGCCGAUCUCAGAAAUCGAAGAGGCACCUACUUUUCUAGCCUUGUCAGCACCUGUCACACGCACACUCAGCUUUGCAGAAAUUAUGGGCAUUCUGUCGAAGACUUCUGGUGAAGUAGAAAGCACAUGAAAUCUUACUGUUCAAUCACCCACUUCCCACACGCAACAAUAGCUCAUGGGUACCACAAAUAACUUUGCCAAAGUUCUCUGCCAAAGUUGAGCACGUGAAGCUUGCAGCUCCCACUACAUCGCUCUAACCAAGAAAGGUAAAAGAAUAGCAAAGAAACAGCACUAACAAAAGUUUAGACACAUAAAUUUUGAAGGUCUAGCUACCAUAUUAUUACCCACAACUGUAAAGGAACAGUACCACUGCUGGAUAAUUGAAAAGUCCCUGUGUGUCAACCUCUGUGCUUCGUGGCAAGGUAGACUAGCAAACAUGCCCAACCUUUACUCACAUUCGAGAAAACACUCCCAAUAAGAUUGCUUGCUCCAAAAUCGAAGAGGCACCGUCCUCCGAAUCUCGAGAGCCAGACUCCCAACAUGACUACUUUCUCAAAAUCGAAGAGAGGGUAAAGGAACAGUACCAUUGCUGGAUAAUUGGAAAGUCCCUGUGUGUCAACCUUUGUGCUUCGUGGCAAGGUAGACUAGCAAACAUGCCCAACCUUUACUCACAUUCGAGACAACACUCCCAACAAGAUUGCUUGCUCCAAAAUCGAAGAGGCACCGCCCUCCGAAUCUCGAGAGCUAGACUCCCAUCAUGAUUACUUUCUCAAAAAUCGAAGAGACACUGCUCUCCGAAUCUCGAGAGUCAUACCCCCAGCAUGAUUGCUUUCUCAAAAAUCGAAGAGGCAUCGUUCUCCGAAUCUCGAGAGCCAGAUACCACAGACCACUUUUUCAAAGUGCUCUGACAGAGUUAAAACAUGUGAAACUGACAGCUCCCACUACCGUGCUAUGACCAAGCAGGGUAAAGGAAUAGCAUUACUACUUGUUGUUAGGGAGACUCCUAUAUAUGUCGACCUCCAUCCCCAACGGACAGGCAGACCUGCAAAAAUGCUCAACCCUUCAUCAUAUCUGAGAGGGCACUCCCAACGAAGCCUUUCGAAAUAUUCAGCUUUCUUUCCCCCCGAUAAUACCUCUGCAAACAAGCUAUACUAGAGCAAGAAUAUCUCAUAUCAUCAGGGUUAAAAGCAAGAGUAUCCCAUAUCAUGCUUUUUCCCUGUCUUUUCUUUUGGCCUUGUUUUUACCUGCAAGACAAGGAGAAAGAGAGCAAUCAGUCAGCACUUGGAAUCAAGCUUCCAGCCAGGAACUGACUGCCUGGAACCCCUUACCUGAUUACUUACCUGGCAUUGCUCUCGAGUACUCAUCUUCAACAUCUUAUGUUUCCAGGGAAGAUUCCGCAUCUGCUUGAGGAACAGAUAGGGCAAGUGCGAAGGAUACAAGGAAGCAUGUGGAGACAAGCGUAACAGCACACGUGCCGAUACAUUCAUUACUCUGUCAAAAGCAAAAGUAUCCCAUAUCAGCAGGGUGGAACGUACUCUAGAUUUGAUGGACUUGUUUUGACCCUCAAAUUCUUCAGUCGGCCUUAUACUCUGGAGGAAACCAGAAAACCCUCCAGCUCAGUUCAAGAAUAAGCCUGUGGAAAGUUACUUCUUCAAAAGCAAAAGUAUCUCAUAUCAUCUCUUCUCAUUUUUCUUCUCUUUAUCCUUCAUGCUGCUGCAAGAUGGGGAGAAGGUGAACAAUCAGUCGGAGCUCUGAUUGCUUACCUUGUCUGUCACCUCUUUCAGCAGACCCCCUAGCUCGGCGACUUGGGGGACUCCUACUACAUGGUUUGUAUCGCGCUUGACCAAGCCUGAAACUACAAGUAAGCUUCAAGUGAAAUUGAUACAUUACCUUGUGCAUCUCCACCAGUUAAAGAUACCACCCCUGGAUGGAGGAAGAGUACUUCCAGAGAAGAUGCCACAUCUACCUAUGAGACAGAUAAGGCAAGUCAAGACGACACCACACUCCGAUACUUAGAAGUUUCGUGAUUACGAGAUCAUUCUCUCACAAUAUUUCCUAAUUUCAUUUGUACUAAAUCAUUCACUAGUACUCACUAAAUGAGAGCUUGAACCUAUGUACUUGUGUAAACCCUUCACAAUUAAUGAGAACUCUUCUAUUCCGUGGACGUAGCCAAUCUGGGUGAAUCACGUACAUCUUGUGUUUGCUUUCCUAUCUCUAUCCAUUUAUAUACUUAUCCACACUAAUGACCGGAGCAAUCUAGCGAAGAUCACAAAAAGCGAUCGUUUUCGCUACCUAGGAUCUAUCUUGCAAGAGAACGGAGAAUUAGAUGGAGAUCUCAACCAUAGAAUACGAGCUGGAUGGAAAGAGUGCAUCCGGCGUGUUGUGUGACCGUCGUAGGCCACUGAAGCUCAAGGGAAAAUUUUAUAGGACGGCAAUAAGGCUAGUGAUGUUGUAUGGCACAGAAUGUUGGGUGGUGAAGCAUCAACACGUACACAAAAUGGGUGUAGCGGAGAUGAGGAUGCUUCGUGGGAUGUGUGGGCACACGAGAAAGGAUAAGAUUGGGAAUGAGGAUAUCCGAGGUAAAGUAGGAGUAGCCGAAAUUGUAGGAAAUAUGAGAGAAAAUCGGCUCCGGUGAUUUUGAACAUGUGCAAAGAAGGCCGACUGACGCUCCGGUUCGAAGAUGUGACUACGGGACAGAGGUCCAGGGCCGAAGGGGUAGAGGAAGACCUAGGACAACUUUGGAAGAGACUCUAAGAAAAGACUUAGAGUACUUGGAUCUAACGGAGGACAUGACACAAAACCGAGCGCAAUGGCGUUCUAGGAUUCAUAUAGCCGACCCCACUUAGUGGGAAAAGGCUUUGUUGUUGUUGUUGUUGUUGUUGGUUGAAAGUAGUAGAAUGGUAUAUUAGACCCUAAAUUGAAGAUUUACAAAGAACAUAUCUGUCUCUUUUUCGCCCCUCCUCUCUAUCUCCCUUUUUCUCUCCUCUUGCUCUUCCCCCUCUAAUAUAUAGUCAAUGUACUCUAACAUGCUAAACAAACGUUACAAAAAACCUAAUUGAACUAAUUAACCAUGUAAUCAAACACUGUAGACUAAGAAUAACAUAAACUACCAAACAUGCUUAUCUACUGUAGGACUUCAAAGCAUUGUUUUUGAAACCCAUAAGUGAAAACUGCCCUCAAUAUUUGGUCAUCCGCUUUGCAUGUGAUCGAUUUGAACAGGAAUUGAAGGAUCAGAAGUUUGGAGCCACCUUUAUGCAUGGUACAAGACUUUGAGGGUCACAUUGAUGCAAUUGAAAGUUGGGGGGCCACUUUGUUUAUGGGAACAUCUUCUCAAAAUUCUUGAGGGAACAUCUUGUCUGACUAAUAGAAUAACAUAUAAAUAAUUCUUAAUAAAGACCGUUUAUACAGUGAGCCAUUAACAUACGUAUAACUUUCUUAAUUGGAUCAGGAAAUGAGCUUCCAUCAGAAUUCUUAGAAACCUUGUUGAAGAUGGCACCAACUCAAGAAGAAGAACUAAAGCUUAGACUGUUCAAUGGUCCACUUUCUCAACUUGGGCCUGCUGAGCGGUUCCUGAAAGCCUUGAUUGACAUCCCAUUUGCUUUUAAGCGAUUGGAAGCAUUACUUUUUAUGUGCACUCUUCAGGAGGAGGCUACUCACCUUAAAGAGUCUUUCGAGACCUUAGAGGUACUGUGUUUCUGAAUUCCAUCAUUUAUAUGAUUUUGCGUGUCAUAGCUCAUCUACGCAUGCUUUUACUUUUCUUAGAUUAACUUAUACUUGUUCAGAGUGCUAAAAAGAAUUAAUAUAGCUACCUAAAUUAUGUUUAUACAACUUAACAAACAAUUAAACAUAGAACACAGUGCAGAUCUAUGUUAAGCUAACAUCGUAUGUUCUCCUACUCUACACAAAGACAGUCUUUUGGGCUAUGCGAAUUAUCAGUUGAUAAUGGAGAAUGCACACCCUUUGUUUGAAAACCUAAACCGAUAAAGAGCCAAAUGCCAAUCGCAAAAGAAAAAUAUACAGUUGAAAUAGCAUGAAUAAGUCUGAUGUAACAGGAGAAAAUGAAUGCCAUGAUUGCAAAGUACAGAUGGGAUUGGUUGCCACUAUGCACAUGUGUUGAGAACUUUAUGUAGUGGCAGACCUGUGGUUGCUUUUAUUUCUGGUGGGGUUUGGACCCCGACUCUUGCUUUACUUCAUCUACAAGCUCUAAUGAUAAAUGUCCCAUGACUGCUAUUUCUCCUUUGAUGAGACUGCUGAAGAGAUUGGAAAAUGUUCGCAGAUAUUUUGUACGGUCUGCUUAUGGUUGAAGUUCACAUCACUUCUGCGAUGACGAGUUUAUUCAGAUUUCAUUUUUAUAUUGCUAAUGAUAUUCGCAUGUUGAAGCAAAGGACAGUAUCAUAUUAAAACUAUCUGUUAGAUAGCUUUCUUGAGGCAAAACGAUAUCAUAUCUAUUAGAUAGCUUAGGCUUAGUCAUAUCAGCAAAGCUGAAGGCUCAAAUGCCGCAGACCAUACUGUCCUUGGGACUUCAGAUAUGGUAUCUAUCUGCAUCUCGGGGACUCCUGGAGAUAUGGUAUCUAUCUGCAUCUGGGGGAGACUCCUGGAGAUAAUCUGGCAUGAGGGUGUAUACGAAUGUACUUUUACAGCAUAUAUAAAAAAUGUCUAUCAGUUUAUAUUAAAAUGGGGUGCAGUUCUUGUUGUUGUAACCUAUCAUUUUUUUGUAUGUGCAUGACAUUGUCUGCGAGCGUUUUUUGGUCCAUAUCUUGAAACGUUGCUAUAAAAAAUAUCUAAAUCAUAUGGCACCUCAUUUCUACGGCAGGUUGCAUGUAAGGAACUGAGAAGCAGCCGGCUUUUCCUCAAGCUUUUAGAAGCUGUUCUUAAAACUGGAAAUCGCAUGAAUGACGGAACAUUUCGUGGUGGAGCACAAGCAUUCAAACUUGACACACUCUUGAAAUUGUCAGAUGUUAAAGGAAUAGAUGGCAAGACAACGCUUUUGCACUUUGUUGUUCAGGAAAUAAUCCGCUCUGAGGGUGUCAGAGCUGCUCGUACAGCAAAAGAGAGCAGGAGUUUCUCUAGCGUCAAAACAGAUGAUCUCCUUGAGGACACUUCCAACGAAACAGAAGAACAAGAACACUAUCGCAGUCUUGGACUUGAGAAAGUUUCAGGUUUAAGCAAUGAACUUGAGAAUGUUAGAAAAGCAUCUGUUUUGGAUGCUGAAAGCUUAACAGGAACUGUUGCCAAACUUGGUCAUUCGCUGAUAAAGACCCGGGACUUCCUGAACACGGACAUGAAAGAUUCAGGGGAAGAUAGUGAGUUCCAUGAAACGCUGAAGAGUUUUGUGCAGAAUGCUGAGGUUGAUAUCACGGGUCUCCUCGAGGAAGAAAAGAGAAUCAUGGCUCUGGUGAAGAGCACCGGUGACUACUUUCAUGGGAAUGCAGGGAAGGAUGAAGGCUUACGACUGUUUAUUAUUGUCCGAGAUUUUCUAAUAAUGCUAGAUAAGGUUUGUAGAGAGGUAAGAUUGACACCAAAAAAGUCGACAAAAGUUCAGAAAAAAGAGACAUCUUCCUCAGAUCCCCGCCAGCCUUCAACAAUGCCAUCUGCCUCCGAUCUUCGGCAGCCUCCUUCUCCUGAUCUUCAUAAGCGGCUUUUCCCGGCAAUCCAAGAUCGACGAAUGGAUAAUUCUAGUUCAGAUGAUGAAAGUUAAUUGAUUUUAUUUGGAGAAGGUAUGUUCUAAACCUAGUUGAAGAAAGAUAACCUCUCUUAUAUUGUAUAGAGGUUCAAUCCAUGUGUGCGCGCAUGUGCAAUUUAAUUAGUAAAAAAGCGAGUUAAGGAUACCAAAUAAGAAAUUCUUGUCUUUGCAUCUUCUCAGGUGACCAUCACUGUACAAUCUCGACAACAGAUGCUUUCGUGGUUCUUCUCAAGAUGUUAUCCAUAUCCACUGAUCACAGAAGGAUUAGUGAAAGGGAGUUAGAGUUGAGCCUGCGGACUAUGCCCUUCUCUUCGCAGUGGAAUUUCACUGGAUUGAACCUACGGUCGCUUUGGAAGGUACCUCCGGUGAUGUUUGACACCUACUCAUGGCUGGCUGUGUACAUCAAUGACUGCUCACUGAUCAGGCGGACGACAGGACUAGAGUCGCAGAACACCAAUACUAUACAGAACUGUGGCUGGUCAUCAUUCAAAAGGCGAACAAUUUCUUGAGCGAUUGUAACUACUGGACCUAACAUCGCGAUAGUACAGCAACCUUCGUUGUAAAUUGGUGUCCUGUUGAGAAUGAACUCGUGACAAAACAACGUUAUUGCCUUCAGAAUGCCCAACGUCCGCAGCAGCGAUUUAAACUAAGUGAUUUUUCCUAUUUUUUGUUCUUCCACCUAUCAUUAUUUGUAUUUUUUUUUUUUGUUCAUAAUUUUGACCUUUUGGGAGUGAAAGGUGUAGCAAGGUAGUUUUGUUACGUAUAGAAUUGUUCAAUUUACUCUUGGGAAUGAAGUUUACUGUCGAGAGAAUGCUUGUAAGGAACGAUCUCUUGGUAAGUCCCUAAAUUCAUUAAAAAUUGCUAAUUUCAUCCCUACUAUUAUAUCCAAAGUUAUUUUAUCAAAAUUUUCGUCAACCUAAGUCACUUAGCAAACUCUAGAGUGUGAUAAUGUCAUUUUAAUUUACCCUCCGAUGUUAAUUUACACUAUUUCUUAUGAAAAAUUACAAAUUUACCCUUCAAAGUUAAUUCCAUACACUAUUUCUUUAUGAAAAACUACCAAUCUACCCUUUAAUGUGUAUCAUAUGCAAGUAACAUGACUUAAAUUGACGAAAAAUUGAAUAUAGUAGUUUAGAAUAUAAUAUUAAGGAUUAAAUUGGUAGUUCACCCUAUUAUAUAAUCACGUGACCAACUUGACGACGUGAAGAGUGAUGAGGAGAGCCAUGACUCCUCAAUUUCUUUGAUGCAUGUGCCAUUUUUUUCAAUUAAAAAUAAAAAAUGACAAGAAUACCCUAAAUUAUAAAGCAGCAGUACUUAUUAUAAUGUCAUUUAGUAUUAUAGUUUAGUAGUAUAUAUCUCCACUUGUAAGUGAGAGAUCUUAGGUUCGAUUCUUGCUAAAGACGAAUUGCUAACCUAUUAUGAGACUAAGCCCACCAUUUCUUCCUUACUAUAGAAAAUAUUGUUGGUUAAAAAAAAAUAGGAGGCGACGUAUCCUGAUAUGAAUCUUUAAGGUAUACAAUUAUAAGUGCAUCAAGAUACAAGUUUGAAAGAUGCACAUUUCUUUAAUAUGCCUUCCUAGUAUAAUUGGCAUCACCAUGAUUACUCGGUACUAAUAAUUAUGUGUUAUAAAUAGGCAAAAGUUAGAGAGAUAACAUUUGCUAGGGACAAAAGCGAGGCUGUUGCAAUAUAUUACACUAACACAAAAUGAUUGCAGAUAAGAGAGAAAUAGGAGGAUACUGAAAAUGUUCUAACUUUUCUUUCUUUCUCACUCUAUAUAUUUUUGAACACUCGUAAUGCUCUAUAUAUAGAGCAAAUACUUUGAAACCAAACAAAUUAUACUAUUAAGCUUGUGAAAAGUUUACUGUAUGCAUGUGGGCAUACAUACUCACUACACUCCCCCUUGGAUGCCCACAUAUUAACAUCAGUUGCCUCGUUAAAACCUUACUUGGAAAAAACCCAGUGGGAAAAAAAACCAUAGCGAAGGAAAAAGAGUACAACUUUAUCCGGAUUGUUGAUAUGGUGUUAAGCAUGCUUAUGUUGCCUCGUUAAAACCUUGAUAAAAAAACCCAGUGGGGAAAAUCCUAAUCGAAGGAAAAAGAGUACAACAUGCAUGUAUCAUGGAUGCUUCCCCUAAAUUGUAUCUCCCCCUGAUUCCUCAUUCUUCAAAUUUGUAAGCUGACGUAAUCGGAUUCUCUGCACCGUAAUCCGAUUCUCUGCACUAACUUCUAAAAUGUGCACUUUGGUAUAGAUUUGGUGAACAUGUCUGCUAAAUUUUCAUUGGAACAGAUUUGUUUGACUUCAAUAACUUUAGCCUUCUGAAGCUUAUGUGCACUAAAAAAUCUUAGAGAUAUGUGUUUAGUCUUAUCACCCUUGAUAAAUCAUUCCUUCAUCUUGGCGACACAUGCUGCAUUAUCUUCAUGGAUGACAGUUGGAGCGUCUGUCUUUGAAGGUAGACCACAUGAAUUCUGGAUGUGAUGGAUCAUUGAUCUUAACUAAGAACAUUCACGACUUGCUUCAUGUAAAACAAUUAUUUCUGAGUGAUUGGAAGAUGUAGCAACUAACGUUUGCUUCGUUGAUCGCCAUGAAAUUGCAGUAUCCCCAUUAGUGAAUACAUAUCCAUUUUGUGAGCAUGCUUUAUGCGGAUCGGAAAGAAAAUCAGCAUCUGCGUAUCCAACAAGGAUCUGGUCAUUUGUGGGCUUGUCUGAGUAGAAGAGACCCAUAUCUGUUGUCCCAUGAAUGUAUCGUAGAACAUCUUUGACUCCCUUCCAAUGACGAAUUGUUGGAGCAGAGCUAUACUUGGCUAACAAGUUAACUAAAAAAGCUAUAUCUGGUCUAAUACAUUGUGCUAAAUACAAUAAAGCACCUAUUGCGCUCAAAUAUGGUACUUCUGAACCAAGGACCAGUUCAUCAUCUUUUUUUGAACGGAAUGGAUCUUUCUUAAUGUCCAAAGAAUGAACGACCAUUGGGGUGCUAAGUGGAUAAGUCUUGUCCAUGCCAAAUUGUUUCAGUAAUUUUUCAAUGUAAGCUGAUUGAUGGACCAAAAUUCCAUUAGCACAAUGCUCGAUCUGCAGGCCGAGACAAUAUUUUGUUUUCCCAAGUUCUUUCAUUUCAAAUUCGUUUUUCAGAUAUUCAACAAUUUUAUUGAGCUCUUCAGGGGUUCCAACUAGGUACAUAUCAUCGACAAAUACUGUCAUUAUAGCAAAUCCAGUAUUUGAUUUCUUAAUGAACACACAAGGGCAGAUGACAUUUUUGAUAUAUCCUUCUUUGAUCAAAUACUCAUUGAGACGAUUAUAUCACAUUCGUCCAGAUUGUUUUAGCCCAUAUAGUUAAUUUGAUUGAGAACAUACCGCGUGGUUUGUUAGUUGCUUCAGGCAACUUAAAUCUUUCUGGGACUUUCAUAUAUAUGUCAAUAUCUAAUUCUCCAUAUAGAUACGCGGUGAUCACAUCCAUAAGUCGCAUGUCAAGUUUUUUUUUGAAAUCAUCAAACUUAUUAAGUAACGGAACGUAAUUGCAUCCACUACAGAAGAUUAUGUCUCUUCAUAAUAAAUUUCAGGUCUUUGUGAAAAACCUUGUGCAACGAGUCGUGCUUUAUAUCUUGCAAUCUCGUUUUUUCUCGUUGCGUUUCCUUGUGAAUACCCAUUUGUAACCUAUGGGGUUCACACCAGGCGGGUUUGGACUACUGGUCCAAAAACACUUUGUCUUUCCAAGGAAUUUAAUUUUGCAUGGAUUGCAUCUUUCCACUUAGGCCAACCAUGUCUCUGCUUACAUUCAUCAACAGAGCGGGGCUCAAUGUCAUCACUUAAUAUAAUUUCAGUGGCUAUUGCAAAUGCAAACAUAUCGUCGAUGAUUAUUUUAUUUCGAUCCCACAAUUCAUUAGUACAUUCAUAAUUUAUGGAUAUUUCUUUACUUUCAUGUACUUCUGUCUCUUCAGGGACAUGUGUCUCAUCAAAGACAUUUUCUUUUUUUAGAAGUAUAGAAUCAUGAAUUGUGGAUUUAUCAUUCAUUUUCUUUUCCCGAAUGAUUUCAUUUGGGUUCAACUGUGCCCUCAUAUUUCUCUUUUGAGGGGCUGAAUUUUUUGAACGUGGAGGUCUACCACGCUUCAGGUAUGCACUGAAUGAAUCAUUUGCUGCCACUUUAUUUUAUCCAACAGGUACAUCAAUUCUUGCAGGUGCAUUUGCAGCUGGUAUAUGUGACUUUGUCACUUUCGAAGCAUCAUUAAAUGUAUAUGGCAUUUGAUUAGCAAUACCUUGAAGAUGAACGAUCAUUUUCAUUUCAUUUUCACAUUAAGUGUUUCAUGGAUCAAAAUGAGAUAAGGUGGGAACAACACAUGUCAGCUCUUGCCGUUCUUCUGAAACGAUCUUUUCUCCCUCUAACGACGGGAAGCAUGUCUUAUCAAAAUGACAAUCAGCAAAACGAGUUGUAAACAUAUCACCAUCAAAGGUUCCAAAUAUCUAAUGAUAGAUGGUGAAUCAAAACCCACAUAAAUUCCCAGUCUGCGUUGAAGUCCCAUUUUAGUUCGUUGUGGCGGUGCAAUAGGCACAUAAACAGCAUAACUAAAAACUCGUAAAUGUGAAAUGUUUGGUUGAUGUCCAAACACGAGUUGUAUUGAUGAGUAUUGGUGGUUGGCUAUGAGUCUCAGUCGAACCAAUAAUGCUACAUGUAAGAUGGCAUGUCCUCAUGCAGAGACUGGUAAUUUCAUUUUCAUGAGCAGAGUGCGGGUUAUUAAUUGAAGCCGCUUGAUAAAUGCCUCUGCUAAACCAUUUUAAGUAUGGACAUGAGGAACUGGAUGUUCAAUAUCAAUGCCCAGUGCCAUGCAGUAAUCAUCAAAGGUUUGAGGCGUAAAUUCACCAGCGUUAUCAAGUCAAAUUAACUUAAUGGGAUGAUCUGGGAACUGUGCUCACAACUUAAUUAUCUGAACAAAAAGUCUCGCAAAAGCUACAUUUCGAGUAGACAAUAGGCAAACAUGUGACCAUCGGGUAGAUGCAUCAAUAAAACCAUAAAAUAUCGAAAUGGUCCACAAGGGAUUGAAUAGGUCCAUAAAUAUCCUUUUGAAUUCUUUGCAAAAGUGAUGGGGAUUCAUCAUCAACAUUUAGUUGUGAUGGUCUAAUUACCAACUUCCCUUAGGAACAAGCCUUGCAAGGGUUAUCAUUUGAGACAUCAAUAUGUCUGCUCAAUAAUGGAUGUCCAUUAGAGUUGGUAAUGAUUAUGCGUAUCAUGGUAGAUCCUUGAUGACCCAGACAGUCAUGCCAAAAUAUGUAAACCUUUAAAUCAAUGAACUUUUGGUUCAUGACAGUAUAUGCCUCAAUUGUCUUUAUGUAUGUAUAAUACAAUCCACUUGAUAAACUACGCAACUACUCCAAUAUACGCUUCUGGGUAUCAUUGGAGGUAAUGCAUAAAUAUUCCACAUUUUCUACACUUUUCGUUUCAAUGUGGUAUCCAUUUAGAUGUAUGUCUUUAAAGCUCAAUAAAUUUCGAGUAGACCAAGUGGCGUACAACGCAUUUUGUAUGGACAAUAUUGUUCCAUUUGGUAACAUAAUCUAGGCUUUUCCUGAGCCUUUAAUUGCAUCUGAUUGUCCUGAUAUUGUUGUUACCUUUACUUUUGCAAGUACCAAGUUCGAGAAAUACUUUCGAUUUCGAAGUAUUGAAUGCGUGGUUGCACUGUCUACAAGACAAAAGUCUUCGCCAUUGCUCUUGUUUUGAGAAUAACCAUAAUUUUUAUCCAUGUUCUCUGAGUAAAGAAAUUACAGUUAAAAGCAGUUAAUUCAUAUUGGAAUACUACUUUUAUUGAAUUGAAAAUGCGAGCAUUAAACCACAAGUACAAAUAACAAGAGUACAUUAAACAUAAAUAAUUCAAUUGAACCCAUAAACUUCAUUCAUUCUUUCAAUAAUAAAGUCUGAAAUAUCCAGGUGGGUUGUCUUCAACUGUCCUGAUAAAUUGGACACUGGAUCAUGUGUUUUCAUCGGUUGAGCCUGGUCGAGGAAAUUGGUCUCGACACCCUUCUCCUUGAGGGAGACUUGAUACAGAUCCACCAGAUGCUUUGGGGUGCGACAAGUACGCAUCCAAUGUCCAUUGCCACCACACUUAUGGCAAACUUCUUCAGGAUUUCUAGGAGUGUUCAUAUAAGCUUUUCCUUUCUGGCGAUUUGCAUUUUUAAAGCUCGGGCUUAGAUUAUGCCUUGGAACCUGGUUGUGAAACUAGACACCAUGGUUCUUGCCUUUCCCAUUCCAUCGGCCUCGCUUAUGGCCAUUUCCUCGUUUGUAAUUAUUUCCACAAGAGGAUGUGGUAUUUCCUUCAAGGGAAGUAGCAUUCACUUCUGGGAAUGAUGCUGAUCCAGUAGGUCAGGACUGAUGAUUCUUCAUCAGAAGCUCAUUGUUUUGCUUAGCUACAAGGAGUACAGAUAUUAGCUGGUUGUUGUACUCAGUAAAGCCUCUUUCUCUAUACUACUGCUGCAAGAGCACGUUGGAGGCAUGAAAGGUGCUAAAAGUCUUUUCCAGCAUAUCUUCCUCAGUGAUUGUUUCUCCACAGAGCUUCAACUGGGAGCUAACUUUGAACAUCGCAUAAUUGUAUUCAGCCACCGUCUUGAAAUCCUGGAUCCUUAGGUGAGUUUACUCAUAACGGGCCCAUGGAAGAAUCACCGUCUUCUGGUGAUUAUAUCUAUUUUUCAGUGCCUUCCAAAGGGUUAAUGGAUCUUCAACCAUGAGGUACUCGCUCUUCAGUCCCUCAUCCAGGUGGCAACGAAUAAAGAUCAUGGCCUUCGCCCGAUCUUGAGAUGAUGCACUGUUAUCCUCUUUGAAGGUUUUCCCAAGAUUUUCCUGCCUCCAGAUGGAUCAUGGCAUUCAUUACCCAAGUAAGGUAGUUUUUUUUCAGUAAUAUCCAAGGUAACAAAAUCAAGCUUUGCCAAGUUCGCCAUUUUCUUUUCUGAAGGAAAAAUGAGGUGUGUAAGAACGUGCAAUAAUGAAAAGGGCGAUUGUUAGAACUUCUAGUUCUUACAAAUUUUGAUCUUUAGACUAAAAUGAUAAGUACUCGACACUUCAAGCUCGAGAUUUACAUGAUUAAUGAGAAGGGCAACUGUACCACACAAUUCUCAUCGAAACAAGUAUAGGAUGAGCGAUUAUUCCGCACCACUUUAAACAGCAGGAAAAUUUAAAUAUACAGAGCAGGGUGGACGAUUAUACCGCACCACCUAAAAUUGCAAUAAAAUUAACUAUGCAGAGCUGAGUGGGUGAUUAUUUCUCACCAUCUAAAAUUGCGAUAAAAUUUAAAUAUGCAGAGCAGGGUGGGUGAUUAUUCCACACCACCUAAAAUUGCAAUAAAAUUAAAUAGCAGGCAAAUUUAAAUAUGCAGGAUAGGGUGGGCGAUUAUACCGCUCCACUUAAAAUUUGCAGUAAAAUUAGAUAUGCAGUCCAAGAUAGGCGAUGAUACCGCACCAUCUUGGAUUGCAUAAAUAAACACUGGGUUAGUAGUCAAGAGUUACACCAAAUAAGAAAUCAAAGAUAUAAGUUAUUGUUAGGUUGAGAACUAGAAGUACACAUGGUGAAAACAGUUCUUCGCGAGGGUAUAUCCAACAAUUGAGGCAGAUGAGGAAGAAGAAUAGUAAAAACCUUAGAGGAAACAUUUUUUUUUCUUUCGAUGAAGGGAAAUGAGAAAUGAUUAUAGAGUCGUGCUGAUAACGUAUUAUAAAUAGGCAAAAGUUAGAGAGAUAACCUUUGUUAGGGACAGGAGCGAGGUUGUUGCAAUAUAUUACACUAACACAAAAUAAUUGCAGAUAGGAGAGAAAUAGGAGGAUACUGAAAAUAUUUGAACUUUUCUUUCUUUCUCACUCUAUAUAUUUUUGAACACUCGUAAUGCUCUAUUUAUUGAGCAAAUACUUUGAAAGCAAACAAAUUAUACUAUUAAGCUUGUGAAAAUUUUACUGUAUGCAUAUGGGCAUACAUACCCUCUAUUUACAACAUUAUAAUAUUUUUCAAAUAAAAAGUAAAAAAUAAUGUGCAGACAUGAAUUCCGUCGAAUUAGCUUAAAAUGUAUUUUUCUUUCAUAUUGUAAAUUAAUUUAAUUUAUUAUCGCCCUCAGCCUAAAAAGUAGAAAGAAAAGUCGUGUGGAAACCCAAUUUUACAAAUUACAUAUGAACACACACCCAGCAGCCGUAGGCCGCCGCACACACAACCACUGCUCCCUCCUCCUUAGUUGUAAUCAACAAUUCUUAUACCCUAAUAAUUUUCUAGGGUUUUAGUCUGCGUGUUCCAAAGGCCAGUUCUCCAUCUAGGGUUUUGCCUGCGCUUUAAUUCAACCAUCUGAAGAGUAAGGAGGGAUUCAGAAUUCCAUUCGGCUGCUCAGGAAUCCCAAUUCUUCAUCGUCAAGGUUUGUUUCGCUUUAAUCUUUGUUAUUGUUAUUCAUCUUUCAAAUUGCUCAACUUUAACAACCUAGUUGCUGCUUAGAUUUUUAGGGUUUUAAUUCAAUUCAAUUCAAUUGUUGUAAGCGACGGGUAAAGAUUUAAGCUCUUGGAACUUACCCAAGAAUUAAUUUCCCUAAUUGUUCGACAUUGUGGUUUAUCAAAUUUGUUUGAGAUGGUUAUGAAUAUUUGUUGUAUCUGUAAUUCCACAGCUUAAAAAAUUCAGCUUUAGUGCUACCUUCGCAUUUAACUUGUGGUGGUUGCUUUGAAUUUUUCAGCAUGUCGUCUUUAAGGAACGCCGUUAGCCGACGGGCUCACAAGGAGCGAGCUCAACCGUGAGUGACCACAUUCCUUUUGCUGUUGGACUUUCGGAUGGUGUUUUUUUGCAUCAGAUGAUGGGAUUAAUGUUUUUGUGUUUUGGGUCCAACUAUUUGAUAGGGAAUCGAGGAAAAAAUUUGGGCUUCUUGAAAAGCAUAAGGACUAUGUUGAGCGUGCGAAAGCAUAUCACAAAAAGGAGGAGACUUUACGGGUAGUUUUAUGAUGGCUUUGUUGUUUUUCUCCUUGGAUUACGUCAUCUGUCAAUAGUCUGGUAAUUUAACUUCCUGAUAUGGUAUACAUCUUAGGCUAUGUCUCAUCUGUCUUUUCACUCAACAGAUACUGAAGCAGAAAGCGUUCUACAUAAACCCAGAUGAGUUCAACUUUAAGAUGAUCAGGACACGAACUGUUAAUGGAGUCCAUAAAUUAGAGUAACAUAAAACUCUCGUUUGCUCUUCUAUAUCAUGUUUCUUUUUCACAUUUGCUGCUCACGUGAUAUGGAUUUUUACUACAGGAGUCAGGCAAACAAGUACACUCCAGAAGAGCUCAUGCUUAUGAAGACCCAAGAUAUUGGAUACAUAUUUCAGAAAGUGCAGAGUGAGAAAAAGGUUAUAAAUAUAUAUCAUGAAGCUAUGGUCUACCGGUUGGUUUUAUGAAUUUAACAUGUUGGUUCUAAUUAUGGUGUUAAUUAAUGCAGAAAUUUGAAAAGUUAACUGCGACGCUGCACUCUCUUGAUAAUCGACCUUCAAGUAGACACGUUUACUUUGCCGAAGACAGGUUUGAGCUUCGCUUCUUGCUUCGCUUUUCUAUACCUUUCACCAUUUUCAUCAGUCCUAUCCUUGUAUAAGGUUUUACAACAUUCCUUCUUAGCCUUCACCUUUGUUUGUACCUCCUCAUUCCACCACCAAGAUUCCUUUUGGUGUGGGGCAAAGCCCUUGGACUCUUCCAAUACCUCUUUUGCUACUUUUCGGAUACAACUAGCCAUGGAAUCCCACAUUUGGCUAGCUUCCCCCUCUUUAUCCCACACACACUGGGUGAUUACUUUCUCUUUGAAAAUGACUUGUUUUUCUUCUUUUAGAUUCCACCAUCUAGUCAUUGGGCACUUCCAAGUCUUGUUCUUUUGUCUCACUCUUUUGAUAUGUACAUCCAUCACCAACAAACGAUGUUGAUUAGCCAUGCUCUCUCCUGGUAUAACUUUGCAAUCCUUACAAGUUAUACGAUCCCCUUUCCUCAUUAGAAGAAAAUCUAUUUGUGUUUUUGACGACCCACUCUUGUAGGUGAUCACAUGUUCUUCUCUCUUCUUAAAGAAGGUGUUGGCUAAGAAGAUAUCAUAUGCCAUUGCAAAAUCCAAGAUAGCUUCCCCAUCCUCGUUUCUCUCCCCAAAACCAUGGCCACUAUGAAAACCUCCAUAGUUGCCUGUCUCCCUGCCCACGUGUCUAUUUAAAUCUCCUCCUAUAAAUAACUUCUCCGUCUGAGCAAUUCCUUGCACCAAGUCUCCAAGGUCUUCCCAAAAUUUCUCCUUCGAACUCGUAUCCAACCCUACUUGAGGUGCGUACGCACUAAUCACAUUGAUAAGUUCUUGUCCUAUUACAAUCUUGAUUGCCAUGAUUCUAUCUCCUACCCUCUUGACAUCUACAACAUCUUGUGUCAAGGUCUUAUCCACGAUGAUGCCAACACCGUUUCUCGUUCUAUUUGUGCCCGAAUACCAAAGUUUAAACCCUGAGUUUUCUAGAUCCUUUGCCUUACUACCAACCCACUUAGUUUCUUGUAGGCACAUAAUAUUUAUCCUUCUCCUCACCAUAACUUCCACUACUUCCAUAGAUUUUCCCGUUAAGGUUCCUAUAUUCCACGUUCCUAAACGCAUUUUGCUCUCUUGAACUCUACCCUUCUGUCCUAGCUUCUUCACCUUCCCCCGUCUAAUAGGAUCAAAGUACUUCUUUUGUGUGCCCCGUGUAAAGUUGAUAGGAGCAUAUGCUCCCAAACAACUUUGAGUGGAGUCGUUCGAAAAGAAGUUUCUAUGGCCCCCUUGCUCAUUUAACACUGCAUCCGGGUGCCGAUGGAGAUACAGCGACCCUUGCUCACUUAUCACUGUGCUCGGGCCACACAGCGCGCCACUUACGGGUGACGCCCUAGAUUUAGCGCGAUUUUGUUCUGGAUUCAUUUUCAUAAGGAUUCGACAUGAUCAUGGAGUGCCGUAAGAACCCAUGAAGGACAAACUGAAAGCUUUCCCAUAACUGUAGGAUUACAUCAAGGCUCAUCCUUAAGUCCUUACCUUUUUGCGUUGGUAAUGGAUGAGUUAACAGGACAUAUUCAAGAUGAUAUUCCUUGGUGUAUGCUUUUCGCAGACGAUAUAGUGUUGAUAGAUGAAACUCAGGAAGGGGUAAAUGCAAAGUUUAACCUUUGGAGAGAAGUGUUGGAAUCUAAAGGUCUUCGCCUAAGCCGAUCAAAGACAGAAUAUAUGGAGUGCAAGUUCAGUGCAAAUGGAGGCCAAAACGAGUUAGGGGUGAGGAUCGGAGAUCAAGAAAUACCAAAGAGCGACCGUUUUCGUUACCUAGGAUCUAUCUUGCAAAAGAACGGAAAAUUAGAUGGAGAUCUCAACCAUAGAAUACAAGCUGGAUGGAUGAAGUGGAAGAGUGCAUCCGGCGUGUUGUGUGACCGCCGUAUGCCACUAAAGCUCAAGGGAAAAUUUUAUAGGAUGGCAAUAAGGCCGGCGAUGCUGUAUGGCACAGAACGUUGGGCGGUGAAGCAUCAACACGUACACAAAAUGGGUGUAGCGGAGAUGAGGAUGCUUCGUUGGAUGUGUGGGCACACGAGAAAGGAUAAGAUUAGGAAUGAGGAUAUCCGGAGUAAAGUAGAAGUAGCCGAAAUUGAAGGAAAGAUGAGAGAAAAUCGGUUACGAUGGUUUGGACAUGUGCAAAGAAAGCCUACUGACGCUCCGAUUAGAAGAUGCGACUAUGGGACAGAGGUUCAGGGCCGAAGGGGUAGAGGAAGACCUAGGAAAACUUUGGAAGAGACUCUAAGAAAAGACUUAGAGUACUUGGAUCUAACGAAGGACAUGACACAGGACCGAGCACAAUGGCGUUCUAAGAUUCAUAUAGCCGAUCCCACUCAGUGACUUAGAUUUUUCAAGUCUCCAACCGAGAAGUUUUCCUCACUCAGGAAAUUAAGGGAACACUACCUCAAUCUACAUGUUCCACUCACAAAGCUUCAUCAAAAGAAAAUUCAAAGAACUUAGCGAAGAAGGCUUUGAUGUAUUUAACACAAUACGUUGAAAUGAAGGAAAGCUUAUUUAUUGAUAUCCCCGAUAAGCUACAAAUAUGUACAUAUACAUGAGUCAAAAUAAAUAAACAAGAGGGAGCCUUCACAAAGGUUGCUUAGGAUAAGUCUCAGCAGUCGGUAGAGCCCCAGAAAGAAAAGGCACUAGAGGGGGAUCAUUUGGAGCCUCAGUACUGGACAGAACCCUAGAAGGAGGAGGCAUCAGAGGUUGAUCAUUUGGAGCUUCAUUACGUGGUACAGCCCCAGAAGACGAAGGCAAUAAAUGCCUUUGGAACAAACCCACAAAUCUUUGAUGAUCAAGUAAAACCUGACCAUCAGAUUCUUUCAUCUGGUCAAGCUUCCUCUUCAUGUUUGUAGCAUAGUCAUGUGCGAGCCGGUACAAUUGUUUAUUCUCAUGCUUGAGCCCUCUAAUCUCCUGUUUGAGACUCAUCACUUCAGCCGCCAAUGAUUCAACUUGGCGGGUUCGAGCAAAUAGGCGUUGGGCCAUAUUAGACACAGAACCUGCACACUGAACACUGAGAGCCAGAGACUCUUUAACAGCUAACUCAUCAGACCGUUUGGAAAGUAGUCUGUUAUCUUUGGGAGUGAGAAGGUUCCUGGCCACCACCGCAGCGGUCAUAUCAUUCUUCAUCAUGGAAUCCCCAACGGUAAGAUGACCAGUAAGGGAGACGAAGGAUGGGCGCCAUAUGUUGUCUGGAGAAGGCGGGGCUGCCUCUUCAACAAGGUUCAAGUCAAAACGACGGUCGGAGGGGCCAGACAUUUUCAAAGGUGUUGAAGAGAGAAGAGGUCGGACAAAUCAAGAUCUUAGAAGUGCAAGAAUGGAGCUUCUACUGGUGGAGAUUCAAGUGUGCUUUGGAACUUAAUGCCAGCCCCUGUAAAAAUUUGCAUUCGACGGAGCUACAGAAAUAGAAGAGGCGCCUGCUCAGAAAUCGAAGAGGCGUUUGCUUUCUCAAAAGCUGGGCUGCUCAGAGACCACGAGGGUCGAUCUCAGAAAUCGAAGAGGCGUUUGCUUUCUCAAAAGCUGGGCUGCUCAGAGACCACGAGGGCCAAUCUUAGAAAUCAAAGAGGCACCUACUUUUCCAGCCUUGUCAGCACCUGUCACACGUACACUCAGCUUUGCGGAAAUUAUGGGCAUUUUGUCGAAGACUUCUGGUGAAGUAGAAAGCACAUGAGUCUUACUGUUCAAUCACCCACUUCCCACACGCAACAGUAGCUCAUGGGUACAACAGAUAACUUUGCCAAAGUUCUCUGCCAAAGUUGAACACGUGAAGCUUGCAGCUCCUACUACAUCGCUCUGACCAAGAAGGGUAAAAGAAUAGCAAAGAAACAACACUAACAAAGUUUAGACACAUAAAUUUUGAAGGUCUAGCUACCAUAUUAUUACCCACAAGGGUAAAGGAACAGUACCACUGCUGGAUAAUUGGAAAGUCCUUGUGUGUUAACCUCUGUGCUUCGUGGCAAGGUAGACUAGCAAACAUGUCCAACCUUUACUCACAUUCGAGAAAACACUCCCAACAAGAUUGCUUGCUCCAAAAUCGAAGAGGCACCGUCCUCCGAAUCUCGAGAGCCAGACUCCCAACAUGACUACUUUCUCAAAAAUCGAAGAGAGGGUAAAGGAACAGUAUCAUUGCUGGAUAAUUGGAAAGUCUCUGUAUGUCAACCUCUGUGCUUCGUGGCAAGGUAGACUAGCAAACAUGCCCAACCUUUACUCACAUUCGAGAAAACACUCCCAACAAGAUUGCUUGCUCCAAAAUCGAAGAGGCACCGCCCUCCGAAUCUCGAGAGCCAGACUCCCAACAUGACUACUUUCUCAAAAAUCGAAGAGAAGGUAAAGGAACAGUAUCAUUGUUGGAUAAUUGGAAAGUCUCUGUAUGUCAACCUCUGUGCUUCGUGGCAAGGUAGGCUAGCAAACAUGCCCAACCUUUACUCACAUUCGAGAAAACACUCCCAACAAGAUUGCUUGCUCCAAAAUCGAAGAGGCACCGCCCUCCGAAUCUCGAGAGCCAGACUCCCAACAUGAUUACUUUCUCAAAAAUCGAAGAGACACUGCUUUCCGAAUCUUGAGAGCCAGGCAUGAUUGCUUUCUCAAAAAUCGAAGAGGCAUCGUUCUCCGAAUCUCGAGAGCCAGAUCCCCGAUAGGAUUGCUUGUUCGAAAACCAAAGAGGCAACACUUUCCCAACUUCAAGAGUUGGAUCUCCUUGGAUAAAGCUGUCUGUAAUCUUCACACGCAACAUCAGCUUUCCAGAUACCACAGACCACUUUUUCAAAGUGCUCUGAUAGAGUUAAAACAUGUAAAGCUGGCAGCUCCCACUACCGUGCUAUGACCAAGCAUGGUAAAGCAAUAACAUUACUACUUGUUGUUAAGGAGACUCCUAUAUAUGUCGACCUCCAUCCCCAACGGACAGACAAACCUGCAAAAAUGCUCAACCCUUCCUCAUAUCUGAGAGGGCACUCCCAACAAAGCCUUUCGAAAUAUUCAGCUUUCUUUCCCCCCGAUAAUACCUCUGCAAACAAGCUAUUCUAGAGCAAGAAUAUCUCAUAUCAUCAGGGUUAAAAGCAAGAGUAUCCCAUAUCAUGCUUUUUCCCUGUCUUUUCCUUUGGCCUUGUUCUUACCUGCAAGACAAGGAGAAAGAGAGCAAUCAGUCAGCACUUGGAAUCAAGCUUCCAGCCAGGAACUGACUGCCUGGAACCCCUUACCUGAUUACUUACCUGGCAUUGCUCUCGAGUACUCAUCUUCAACAUCUUAUCCUCCCAGGGAAGAUACCGCAUCUGCCUGAGGAACAGAUAGGGCAAGUGAAAAGGAUACAAGGAAGCAUGUGGAGACAAGCGUAACAGCACACGUGCCGAUACAUCCAUUACUCUGUCAAAGCAAAAGUAUCCCAUAUCAGCAUGGUCGAACGUACUCUAGAUGUGAUGGACUUGUUUUAACCCUCAAAUUCUUCAGUCGGCCUUAUACUCUGGAGGAAACCAAAAAACCCUCCAGCUCAGUUCAAGAAUAAGCCUGUGGAAAGUUACUUCUUUAAAAGAAAAAGUAUCCCAUAUCAUCUCUUCUCAUUUUUCUUCUCUUUAUCCUUCAUGCUGCCUGCAAGAUAGGGAGAAUGUGAACAAUCAGCCGGAGCUCUGAUUGCUUACCUUGUCUGUCACCUCUUUCAGCAGAUCCCCUAGCUCGGCGACUUGGGGGACUCCUACUACAUGGUUUGUAUCGCGCUUGACCAAGCCUGAAACUACAAGUAAGCUUUAAGUGAAAUUGAUACAUUACCUUGUGCAUCUCCACUAGUUAAAGAUACCACCCUUGGAUGGAGAAAGAGUACUUCCAGAGAAGAUGCCACAUCUACCUAUGAGACAGAUAAGGCAAAUCAAGACGAUACCACACUCCGAUACUUAGAAGUUUCGGGAUUACGAGAUCAUUCUCCCACAAUAUUUCCUAAUGUCAUUUGUACUAAAUCAUUCACUUGUACUCACUAAAGGAGAGCUUGAACAUAUGUACUUGUGUAAACCCUUCACAAUUAAUGAGAACUCCUUUAUUCCGUGGACGUAGCCAAUCUGGGUGAACCACGUACAUCUUGUGUUUGCUUUCUUAUCUCUAUCCAUUUAUAUACUUAUCCACACUAAUGACCGGAGCAAUCUAGCGAAGAUCACAAAAAGCGACCGUUUUCGCUACCUAGGAUCUAUCGUGCAAGAGAACGGAGAAUUAGAUAGAGAUCUCAACCAUAGAAUACAAGCUGGAUGGAUGAAGUGUAAGAGUGCAUCCGGCGUGUUGUGUGACUGUCGUAUGCCACUGAAGCUCAAGGGAAAAUUUUAUAGGACGGCAAUAAGGCCAGCGAUGUUGUAUGACACAGAAUGUUGGGCGGUGAAGCAUCAACACGUACACAAAAUGGGUGUGGCGGAGAUAAGGAUGCUUCGUGGGAUGUGUGGGCACACGAGAAAGGAUAAGAUUGAGAAUGAGGAUAUCCGAGGUAAAGUAGGAGUAGCCGAAAUUGAAGGAAAGUUGAGAGAAAAUCGGUUCCGAUGAUUUGGACAUGUGCAAAGAAGGCCUACUGACGCUCCGGUUCGAAGAUGUGACUACGGGACAGAGGUUCAGGGCCGAAGGGGUAGAGGAAGACCUAGGAAAACUUUGGAAGAGACUCUAAGAAAAGACUUAGAGUACUUGGAUCAAACGGAGGACAUGACACAAAACCGAGCGCAAUGGCGUUCUAAGAUUCAUAUAGCCGACCCCACUUAGUGGGAAAAGACUUUGUUGUUGUUGUUGUUGUUGUAAUUUUUCGUUGCUGCUGUCAUGGAAGAAAAUGCCGAUAAUAUCGGCGAAAUAUCGCCGAUAUUAUCGGUUUUUCGGGUGAUGGAUAUUCUAAGUGGUAUCCGAAUGUUUUCGGCCAAAUAUCGCGAUAUUAUCGAUAAUAUCACGAUAUUUUGGAAAUAUCGGCGAAAUUUUUUUGAGUUUGGUGCAAUCGGACUCCGAGGCGACGUCGGAGAAGAACGCCGGAGACGGUGUGCCUAUUCCCGGGCCGAUUUUGUCCCAAAAACCUUGCAAAAACACGAAUUUUAACAUCAAUUUCACAUAUAAACUUCAGAUUUCACGCAUGCAUAAACGAUUCAACAUAUGUGAAGUCGGUUUAGGGUUUAGGGUUUCAAUGGAAUCUCACCUGACGAAGACGAAGACGAACCAGAUGACUGAACGUGAUCCUUGCUCAGCGGCGCACCGCCAGAGACGACUGAGCCAACUCCGACUUCGCCAGAGCCACGAUCAACGGCGAAGGGAGAAGAGAGAUCGAGAGAUCUCUGUGUGUGUGUGUGUGUUUGGGAUAAGAGAGAUCGGAGAAGGGAGAAGAGAGAUCGGAGAAUGGAGAAGAGAGAUCUCCGAUCUCUGUGUGUGUGUGUUUGGGAGAAGAGAGAUCUCCGAUCUCUGUAGAUGGAGGGUGUGUGCGUGUGUGUGUGUGUGGAAUGAGGGAGAAGUGUGUGUGUGUGUUAUCCGAAAGAAAGAAAAAAAUACAUUGAGGGUGUGUGUGUGUGUGUGUUUGUGGCACACGGUUUGACACAUGGUUUUGUAUAAAACCAUGGUUUUGUGUGUGUGUGUAUGGUUAUGUGUGUGUGUGUUAUCCGAGAGAGUUUUGGCACAUGGUUUUGUAUAAAACCAUGGUUUUGUGUGUGUGUGUGUGUUAUCCGAGAGAAAAAGAAAAAAACUUUGAGGAUGUGUGUGUGUGGCACACGGUUUUGUAUGAAAGAAUUGGAAGUGACUUUGCUCAGAAGAACCAAAUAUUCUGUCAGAGAAGAACCAAAAAAUCUGCUUACUUUAUCUUCUUCUCCACGUGAAGACCAAAUUCUGUCAGAGAAGAACCAAAAAUGCAAUGUAUAAAGUGUAAAAUAUUGUACUAAUUCAUUAUAUAUAAAUGAUUAUGGUGUGUUUAGACUUCUUUCAUUAAUUACUACAUAUUUUCUACACUCACAAUGUUUGUCAGCUCGCUAUAUAAUCAACUUGAUAAUGUUAAAUCAAUCAUGCAAUGCAUUUCCUUCCAAUUUUUUGUGAUAAACUAAUAGAUAAUUGACUAAAUAAACAUCAUGCAAAGUUUCAAUAAAAAUUUCCAAGUUUUUCUUACAAUUUCCGUGGUUUCCAUGUAAUUUUUAUCGAUAUCGAUAUUAUCCCGAUAUUUCCAUCGAUAUUUCCGUGUUUUCGGACUACCGAUAUUUCCGAUAUUACCGAUAUUUUCUUCCUUGGCUGCUGUUAUUUGUAAUCAGACUAGAUAUGGUGAAAGACAAUUUUCACCAUAUUUCGGUUCUUUGUUGUCCCUUAUUAUCGACAGAGGUCUGUUUCCAUUGUUCUAAUUGAUUUUGUUAUGUAUAUUUUUCAUGUUCAUUGAAUUGGUUUUUUCAUUAGUAGGCAUAAGUAUCUAGAGUGAUUUUAACCCCUUUUUUCCAAGCAAAUACACAACAUAAAACACACAAACACAAACACAUCUACUGUACAUGAACUCGAAGUUUCACAUCCACCCUUACAGACACUGAAAAGGAAUACUGUAACAAAUGGGAAGACGCAUACAAAAAACUUGAUCAAUAAAUGAAAAGUGUGUUUCUCCUGAUCCCAUUUUGGACUUGUAUGAAAUGUUUUUGAUCCUGUUCACUUGAGUAUAUUUACAAAAACUAUUAAGGCCCUGAGAAAGGGGACAUAGAAAUACAGUGAUACAAGGACUAUAAGCGUGCUAUUAUAAAUCUGCGAACUGCUUUCUGUCUGGCCCAUGUAGUUAUAAUAGAGUAGAUCCUCAUGGCUUCAACUGGGGACACUAGGCUAAUUUCUUAGUGUUAUUAAUUUUUUCCUGGGAAGACAUUAUUCUUCAAUUCUUUCACAUGGGGAUAAGACCUAUAAUGUUAUAGAAUUCACUUGAGACCACUCCGGGUGAAAGAGUUCGGAGGGAAAUUAGUUUCUUAAUUUCACAUCAUUUGUGUUCCCAUUUGCCAAAUAUGUUUUAUCUUGUUUUGCACAUUUUAAAAAAUAUAUUGUUAAUUAUUUUUUUGCCAGAAAGGAGGCUAGAGAAAUUCAAUCACGUUCAAGAAGUGGAAAAAUGCCGGUUUCUGAGGACAUUCCUGAUCAUAUAAAAAGGUAGAAACAAAAUUUUCGGUGAUAGAGGACAUAUUGAGGAGUUAGGUUUAUUCUGGAAGUUUUGGUCUUUUGAUUUUCAUCAAUUUUGCAUCAAUUAUGCAUUUCUAUGCAUCGAUUAUGGUGAUAAGAUGUUGGCAUUAUUGAUAUCUAUGAAUAAUUGUGCAGUGAUCCCUUUGCACUUUGCGUGGUUGCAUUCUCAAAGCAAUAAGAUUACUUUGUGAUACCAGGCCAUCAAUCGUGAAGUGAAUAGGACUAGAAUGUUUUGUAAUAGAGAAAAGGUUCUAAGCAAACCUAGUCUCUUAAUGUUUAGUCUAAAGGCUGCAACUUGGCUUUUAUACAGUUAUGUGAUUGUGAUUUGUGAUUAUGCCAACUGACCUAAAAGAGCAUAAACAAAUCUUAAUGGUUACAAGUAUAUGGCAAAAAAAAUAAAAAAAUUCUCUCGCAAAAGUUGUUCUGUACAUUAAGUUAUUAACCGGUUUGAUAAACAGCUCUUUGCUGCUAUGCCAACUAAAGCCCAACUAAAGCCCUCAGCCUAAAAAGUAGAAAGAAAAGUCGUGUCGAAACCCAAUUUUACAAAUUACAUCUGAACACACACCCAGCAACCGUAGGCCGCCGCACACACAACCACUGCUCACUCCUCCUCAGUUGUAAUCAACAAUUCUUAUACCCUAAUAAUUUUCUAGGGUUUUAGUCUGCGUGUUUCGAAGGCCAGUUCUCCAUCUAGGGUUUUGCCUGCGCUUUAAUUCCACCAUCUGAAGAGUAAGGAGGGAUUCGAAAUUUCAUUCGACUGCUCAGGAAUCCCAAUUCUUCAUCGUCAAGGUUUGUUUCGCUUUAAUCUUUGUUAUUGUUAUUCAUCUUUCAAAUUGCUCAACUUUAACAACCUAGUUGCUGCUUAGAUUUUUAGGGUUUUAAUUCAAUUCAAUUCAAUUGUUGUAAGCGACGGGUAAAGAUUUAAGCUCUUGGAACUUACCCAAGAAUUAAUUUCCCUAACUGUUCGACAUUGUGGUUUAUCAAAUUUGUUUGAGAUGGUUAUGAAUAUUUGUUGUAUCUGUAAUUCCACAGCUUAAAAAAUUCAGCUUUAGUGCUACCUUCGCAUUUAACUUGUGGUGGUUGCUUUGAAUUUUUUAGCAUGUCGUCUUUAAGGAACGCCGUUAGCCGACGGGCUCACAAGGAGCGAGCUCAACCGUGAGUGACCACAUUCCUUUUGCUGUUGGACUUUCGGAUGAUGUUUUUUUGCAUCAGAUGAUGGGAUUAAUGUUUUUGUGUUUUGGGUCCAAAUAUUUGAUAGGGAAUCGAGGAAAAAAUUUGGGCUUCUUGAAAAGCAUAAGGACUAUGUUGAGCGUGCGAAAGCGUAUCACAAAAAGGAGGAGACUUUACGGGUAGAUUUAUGAUGGCUUUGUUGUUUUUCUCCUUGGAUUUCGUCAUCUAUUAAUAGUCUGGUAAUUUAACUUCCUGAUAUGGUAUACAUCUUAGGCUAUGUCUCAUCUGUCUUUUCACUCAACAGAUACUGAAGCAGAAAGCCUUCUACAGAAACCCAGAUGAGUUCAACUUCAAGAUGAUCAAGACACGAACUGUUAAUGGAGUUCAUAAAUUAGAGUAACAUAAAACUCUCGUUUGCUCUUCUAUAUCAUGUUUCUUUUUCACACUUGCUGCUCACGUGAUAUGGAUUUUUACUACAGGAGUCAGGCAAACAAGUACACUCCAGAAGAGCUCAUGCUUAUGAAGACCCAAGAUAUUGGAUACAUAUUUCAGAAAGUGCAGAGUGAGAAAAAGGUUAUAAAUAUAUAUCAUGAAGCUAUGGUCUACUAGUUGGUUUUAUGAAUUUAACAUGUUGGUUCUAAUUAUGGUGUUAAUUAAUGCAGAAAAUUGAAAAGUUAAAUGCAACGCUGCACUCUCUUGAUAAUCGGCCUUCAAGUAGACACGUUUACUUUGCCGAAGACAGGUUUGAGCUUCCUUCACAUCUUCUAUCCAUGGAGAAUCUUAAUUCUGAAUUAAUGGAUUUUUUUAAUUUGUAAUUUUUCGUUGCUGCUGUUAUUUGUAAUCAGACUGGAUAUGGUGAAAGACCAUUUUCACCAUUUUUCGGUUCUUUGUUGUCCCUUAUUAUCCACAGAGGUCUGUUUCCAUUGUUCUAAUUGAUUUUGUUAUGUAUAUUUUUCAUGUUCAUUGAAUUGGUUUUUUCAUUAGUAGGCAUAAGUAUCUAGAGUGAUUUUAACCCUUUUUUCCAAGCAAACACACACAAACACAAACACAUAUCUACUGUACAUGAACCCGAAGUUUCACAUCCACCCUUACAGACACUGAAAAGGAAUACUGUAACAAAUGGGAAGACGCAUACAUAAAACUUGAUCAAUAUGUUUCUCCUGAUCCCAUUUUGGACUUGUAUGAAAUGUUUUUCAUCCUGUUCACUUGAGUAUAUUUACAAAAACUAUUAAGGCCCUGAGAAAGGGGACAUAGAAAUACAGUGAUACAAGGACUAUAAGCGUGCUAUUAUAAAUCUGCGAACUGCUUUCUGUCUGGCCCAUGUAGUUAUAAUAGAGUAGAUCCUCAUGGCUUCAAUUGGGGACACUAGGCUAAUUUCUUAGUGUUAUUAAUUAUUUCCUGGGAAGACAUUAUUCUUCAAUUCUUUCACAUGGGGAUAAGACCUAUAAUGUUAUAGAAUUCACUUGAGACCACUCGGGUGAAAGAGUUGGGAGGGAAAGUAGUUUCUUAAUUUCACACCAUUUAUGUUCCCAUUUGCCAAAUAUGUUUUAUCUUGUUUUGCACAUUUAAAAAAAUAUAUUGUUAAUUAUUUUUUUGCCAGAGAGGAGGCUAGAGAAAUUCAAUCACAUUCAAGAAGUGGAAAAAUGCCGGUUUCUGAGGACAUUCCUGAUCAUAUAAAAAGGUAGAAACAAAAUUUUUGGUGAUAGAGGACAGAUUGAGGAGUUAGGUUUAUUCUGGAAGUUUUGGUCUUUUGAUUUUCAUCAAUUUUGCAUCAAUUAUGCAUUUCUAUGCAUCGAUUAUGGUGAUAAGAUCUUGGCAUUAUUGCUAUCUAAGAAUAAUUGUGUAGUGAUCCCUUUGCACUUUGCGUGGUUGCAUUCUCAAAGCAAUAAGAUUACUUUGUGAUACCAGGCCAUCAAUCGUGAAGUGAAUAGGACUAGAAUGUUUCGUAAUAGAGAAAAGGUUCUAAGCAAACCUAGUCUUUUAAUGUUUAGUCUAAAGGCUGCAACUUGGCUUUUAUACAAUUAUGUGAUUGUGAUUUGUGAUUAUGCCAACUGACCUACAAGAGCAUAAACAAAUCUUAAUGGUUACAAGUAUAUGGCAAAAAAAAUAAAAAAUUGUCUCGCAAAAGUUGUUCUGUGUAUUAAGUUAUUAACCGGUUUGAUAAACAGCUCUUUGCUGCUAUGCCUACUAAAGCCCAACUUUGCAUGGGAUAAAGAGCUCUUUGGCAAAAUUGAAAUUGAAAUAAAAACAAUAAAUUAGAAGUUGGUCUGCGGCCCAACUAUUAGGUGCUAGUUGGAAUUGUAUUUCGGUUGAGAAUUUCUUUUAUGCCGUUUUUUUGUCCCUGAAUCCUAGGUAGCUCACUCAUGUUAACAAAUUCCUGUUAUUCUUAUGCUACCUUUCAAUUUGUGGAAUAAUUCUUGCAUCUGCCUUCCUGUUUCAUUGUCAGCAAGGAUUCUUGAAGCGCGAUAUCAUUAUUUUGUUUAAGUCUUAAAUUGUUGUCUUCAAUGUGCAGGAAAACAGCUGGUUCCUACAGAGAGCUUGAAGCAAGGAGUAACAGAGUCAAUGAGUUGGAGAAAAUCUAUAUGGAUAUGGCAAUGCAGAAGGAAUUAAAGGUAUUGACAUCUAAAUUUCUUUGCUCAGUUCUGGGAGUUUGGUUGUCUGUGGAUAGUUUUGAAUACGUUUCCGUCUAAAUUACAGAAAAAGGGUAAAAAACGCAAACUAUGUGAAGAUGAGAUUGUCUCCCCAACAUCCAACCCUGUAUUCAAGUGGCGGGCAGAGCGGAAGCGUUAAAAAGGUGUGUGUUGAUCCAUUAUUAGCUUUUCGGUGCAAUGGAAAUCACGCACUUAACUCGGUGUGUUUUUGCAGGAAUGAGCCUGCUAGUGACAUCUAGGCCCUGGAAAAGAAGAAGUACGGACCUUAUGUACCGGAAAUUUUGUCAUCGUUAUUAUGUCAUCGUUAUGAAUUUUUAAAGUUGUGAAGUCUGUUGGAGUAUGAUAUUUAAACUGAAACUUUCUACCGAGUAGUGACUACUUGAUCUCCGACCAAACAGUUGCAAAAUCGCCCUUCAAUUGAGUGCUAGACAAACAAGGAUGGCAGUGGCGCUUGGGUUUCAUCGCGAGUUUAUUACAUAGGUUCGGAAACAGGACAAUCCGACUCGAAAACGAUAUGGUCAAACAUGAAUCAGACAUGAACCAUUAAAAUGAGUUGUCACCCUGGCGGCAGCGUCGAGUGCUUCAUUGACAUGAACACCUCAACGGUGUGGAUUGGCAACCGCGUGAGGGUCAAGACUCCGCAGUCUUGAGUACUCACGAAACACGAAUUGCCAUCCCUGGCCAUGGCCAUAACUAAAAAUACAUUUUAACGGUUUCACUGUCAUGUAAAGUGCAAAAAAAUUCAGGUGAAUAAAUUUCACUACCAUGAGCACAAAGUUAUGACAAUUCAAUAAUUGCUAGCAAAUACUAACAUGCACCAAAGUAUUCUGGCAUCGGCAAUACUUAGUAUGCACCGCAAUCCUUGGCCGCAGCCAAUAGAUCAAAUUCAACGGUCAAAUGUGUCGACAAGCGCUUGUAAGUACUCAAGAAAUAGCACAAAUGAAAGAGUGAAACCUGAGAAACAAUACAGCAUAAGAAUCAUAUGAUGCUCAAACUUUGAAGCAUUGUCAUUAGGUAUUUAAACCCACAAAUAACACAUCCAUAAAAACAACGCAAAAGACAUUCCCACAAAAAUCUUCUAUCUAUCAAGAAGCUAGAAGAUGAUUAUAUUCACAAACAUUACUAACCUACAACCCUAACCCUAAAACCCAACUACAUUUCCAGAAACAGAGACCCCAAUAACCUACUUUGACCUACUGGACAGAACUAAAUCUGAAAUGGAACAUAUUAGUCCGGCAACGAUCGUCAUUUUGUUUUGAAUCUAAGAGUCAUCAUCACCACCGACGUUCUAGGAGGAGGCACCGGUCUUCUUUGGGAGCAGAAGAUUGUGAAUGUUGGGCAUCACACCACCAUUUGCAAUUGUCACAUCCCCAAGAAGCUUGCUGAGCUCCUCGUCAUUCCGCACAGCGAGCUGAAUGUGGUGCGGCACAAUGCGAGUUUUCUUGUUGUCUCUUGCUGCAUUGCCAGCCAAUUCCAGAACCUGUAAAAUCAACCAAAUUGAAACAACAUUAGAAUCAAAACCCGAAUUUGAAAGUUGAAAAUCAAUUCAGUUGCAGAAUCAUAACUUCACCAAAGAAAAUAUCCCAGUUUCAAAAGUCGCACAAACCCUAACUACAAUAACAUCUAAAUUGCGAUAAAAUUUAAAUAUGCAGAGCAGGGUGGAUGAUUAUUGCACACCACCUAAAAUUGCAAUAAAAUUAAAUAGCAGGCAAAUUUAAAUAUGCAGGAUAUGAUGUGCGAUUAUAGCGCUCCACUUAAAAUUUGCAGUAAAAUUAGAUCUGCAGUCCAAGAUAGGCGAUGAUACCGCACCAUCUUGGAUUGCAUAAAUAAACACUGGGUUAGUAGUCAAGAGUUACACCAAAUAAGAAAUCAAAGAUAUAAGUUAUUGUUAGGUUGAGAACUAGAAGUAAACAUGGUGAAAACAGUUCUUCGCGAGGGUAUAUCCAACAAUUGAGGCAGAGGAGGAAGAAGAAUAAUAAAAACCUUAGAGGAAACAUUUUUUUUUCUUUCGAUGAAGGGAAAUGAGAAAUGAUUAUAGAGUCGUGCUGAUAAUGUAUUAUAAAUAGGCAAAAGUUAGAGAGAUAACCUUUGCUAGGGACAUGAGCAAGGUUGUUGCAAUAUAUUACAGUAACACAAAAUAAUUGCAGAUAGGAGAGAAAUAGGAGGAUACUGAAAAUAUUUGAACUUUUCUUUCUUUCUCACUCUAUAUAUUUUUGAACACUCGUAAUGCUCUAUUUAUUGAGCAAAUACUUUGAAAGCAAACAAAUUAUACUAUUAAGCUUGUGAAAAAUUUACUGUAUGCAUAUGGGCAUACAUACCCUCUAUUUACAACAUUAUAAUGUUUUUCAAAUAAAAAGUAAAAAAUAAUGUGUGGACAUGAAUUCCGUCCAAUUAGCUUAAAAUGUAUUUUCUUUCAUAUCGUAAAUUAAUUUAAUUUAUUAUCACCCUUAGCCUAAAAAGUAGAAAGAAAAGUCGUGUGGAAACCCAAUUUUACAAAUUACAUCUGAACACAAACCCAGCAGCCGUAGGCCGCUGCACACACAACCACUGCUCACUCCUCCUUAGUUGUAAUCAACAAUUCUAGGGGUGGAAAAAAUUCCCAAAAUUCCCAAACCAAACCAAAAAAAUACCGAUCCCAAACCAAAAAUGUCCCAAACCGAUUUUCCCAAAAUUUCAGUAUUCCCAUACCGAAAAAAUACCGAAAUUUCGGUAUGGGAAUCGGGAUUGCCUUUCCAAUAUUUCGGUAUUCCCAUACCGAACCGAAAAUAUAUAUUUUUAAUUAUUUUAUAUAUAUAUAUAGAUAAUAAUAUAUAUUGUUUUUUUUAAUUAUAGUUAGAGUUAAUUUGAACCGUUGGAUUGCUUCAAAUUAAUCCAUGCCAUCCAUUCCUUGUUAGGUUUCUCCCAGUCUAGUUUGAUUUCUGAUUUCUCACUCAGCCUUCCAACACCGACAGCCUUCCUUCGAAUCGUCUCUGACUCUCCAGCCGCCCAGCCUUCCUUCACGAAUCACCACCCAGCCACCGCCACGCCAAAGCAUCAAAGACUGAACUCUCCAGCCUUCCUUCACGAAUCGUCUCCGACUCUUGCGAUCUCUCUCUCACGGACAGAACUCUCGAUCUAGCACCGAGUCCGAGUCUCACUCUCACCCCAAAAUAGGUAACUAAUUUAGUGUUUUGAAAUCUAAUUUCUGACACUCAUCCAAAGUAGGGAUUGUUGAAGGGCUCGAGGCCGGUUAUAGACCCGCUGAUGGCCUAAUUUAUUCAUGCCGUUGGCAAUUUUUUUUGUUUGUGUGUUAAUAACUUAUACAUUUCUUCCAUCUUCAUCUGUUAGUUAGUAGUCAUUCAAUAAUUAAAAUGAUGUUUGAUUGAGUUUGUCGUAUUCUUUUUUAAAAAUCGUUUCUUCUUAUACCCUAAUAAUUUUCUAGGGUUUUAGUCUGCGUGUUCCGAAGGCCAGUUCUCCAUCUAGGGUUUUGCCUGCGCUUUAAUUCCACCAUCUGAAGAGUAAGGAGGGAUUCGGAAUUUCAUUCGACUGCUCAGGAAUCCCAAUUCUUCAUCGUCAAGGUUUGUUUCGCUUUAAUCUUUGUUAUUGUUAUUCAUCUUUCAAAUUGCUCAACUUUAACAACCUAGUUGCUGCUUAGAUUUUUAGGGUUUUAAUUCAAUUCAAUUCAAUUGUUGUAAGCGACGGGUAAAGAUUUAAGCUCUUGGAACUUACCCAAGAAUUAAUUUCCCUAAUUGUUCGACAUUGUGGUUUAUCAAAUUUGUUUGAGAUGGUUAUGAAUAUUUGUUGUAUCUGUAAUUCCACAGCUUAAAAAAUUCAGCUUUAGUGCUACCUUCGCAUUUAACUUGUGGUGGUUGCUUUGAAUUUUUCAGCAUGUCGUCUUUAAGGAAUGCCGUUAGCCGACGGGCUCACAAGGAGCGAGCUCAACCGUGAGUGACCACAUUCCUUUUGCUGUUGGACUUUCGGAUGAUGUUUUUUUGCAUCAGAUGAUGGGAUUAAUGUUUUUGUGUUUUGGGUCCAAAUAUUUGAUAGGGAAUCGAGGAAAAAAUUUGGGCUUCUUGAAAAGCAUAAGGACUAUGUUGAGCGUGCGAAAGCAUAUCACAAAAAGGAGGAGACUUUACGGGUAGUUUUAUGAUGGCUUUGUUGUUUUUCUCCUUGGAUUUCGUCAUCUAUUAAUAAUCUGGUAAUUUAACUUCCUGAUAUGGUAUACAUCUUAGGCUAUGUCUCGUCUGUCUUUUCACUCAACAGAUACUGAAGCAGAAAGCCUUCUACAGAAACCCAGAUGAGUUCAACUUCAAGAUGAUCAAGACACGAACUGUUAAUGGAGUCCAUAAAUUAGAGUAACAUAAAACUCUCGUUUGCUCUUCUAUAUCAUGUUUCUUUUUCACACUUGCUACUCACGUGAUAUGGAUUUUUACUACAGGAGUCAGGCAAACAAGUACACUCCAGAAGAGCUCAUGCUUAUGAAGACCCAAGAUAUUGGAUACAUAUUUCAGAAAGUGCAGAGUGAGAAAAAGGUUAUAAAUAUAUAUCAUGAAGCUAUGGUCUACCGGUUGGUUUUAUGAAUUUAACAUGUUGGUUCUUAUUAUGGUGUUAAUUAAUGCAGAAAAUUGAAAAGUUAACUGCGACACUGCACUCUCUUGAUAAUCGGCCUUCAAGUAGACACGUUUACUUUGCCGAAGACAGGUUUGAGCUUCCUUCACAUCUUCUAUCCAUGGAGAAUCAUAAUUCUGAAUUAAUGGAUUUUUUUAAUUUGUAUUUUUCGUUGCUGCUGUUAUUUGUAAUCAGACUGGAUAUGGUGAAAGGCUAUUUUCACCAUUUUUCGGUUCUUUGUUGUCCCUUAUUAUCCACAGAUGUCUGUUUACAUUGUUCUAAUUGAUUUUGUUAUGUAUAUUUUUCAUGUUCAUUGAAUUGGUUUUUUCAUUAGUAGGCAUAAGUAUCUAGAGUGAUUUUAACCCUUUUUUCCAAGCAAAUACACAACAUAAAACACACACAAACACAAACACAUAUCUACUGUACAUGAACCCGAAGUUUCACAUCCACCCUUACAGACACUGAAAAGGAAUACUGUAACAAAUGGGAAGACGCAUACAUAAAACUUGAUCAAUAAAUGAAAGGUGUGUUUCUCCUGAUCCUAUUUUGGACUCGUAUGAAAUGUUUUUCAUCCUGUUCACUUGAGUAUAUUUACAAAAACUAUUAAGGCCCUGAGAAAGGGGAUAUAGAAAUAUAGUGAUACAAGGACUAUAAGCGUGCUAUUAUAAAUCUGCGAACUGCUUUCUUUCUGGCCCAUAUGGUUAUAAUAGAGUAGAUCCUCAUGGCUUCAAUUGGGGACACUAGGCUAAUUUCUUAGUGUUAUUAAUUUUUUCCUGGGAAGACAUUAUUCUUCAAUUCUUUCACAUGGGGGUAAGACCUAUAAUGUUAUAGAAUUCACUUGAGACCACUCCGGGUGAAAGAGUUCAGAGGGAAAGUAGUUUCUUAAUUUCACAUCAUUUAUGUUCCCAUUUGCCAAAUAUGUUUUAUCUUGUUUUGCACAUUUUAAAAAAUAUAUUGUUAAUUAUUUUUAUUCCAGAGAGGAGGCUAGAGAAAUUCAAUCAUGUUCAAGAAGUGGAAAAAUGCCGGUUUCUGAGGACAUUCCUGAUCAUAUAAAAAGGUAGAAACAAAAUUUUCAGUGAUAGAGGACAGAUUGAGGAGUUAGGUUUAUUCUGGAAGUUUUGGUCUUUUGAUUUUCAUCAAUUUUGCAUCAAUUAUGCAUUUCUAUGCAUUGAUUAUGGUGAUAAGAUCUUGGCAUUAUUGCUAUCUAAGAAUAAUUGUGCAGUGAUCCCUUUGCACUUUGCGUGGUUGCAUUCUCAAAGCAAUAAGAUUACUUUGUGAUACCAGGCCAUCAAUCAUGAAGUGAAUAGGACUAGAAUGUUUCGUAAUAGAGAAAAGGUUCUAAGCAAACCUAGUCUCUUAAUGUUUAGUCUAAAAGCUGCAAUUUGGCUUUUAUACAGUUAUGUGAUUGUAAUUUGUGAUUAUGCCAACUGACCUACAAGAGCAUAAACAAAUCUUAAUGGUUACAAGUAUAUGGCAAAAAAAAUAAAAAAUUGUCUCGCAAAAGUUGUUCUGUGUAUUAAGUUAUUAACCGGUUUGAUAAACAGCUCUUUGCUGCUAUGCCUACUAAAGCCCAACUUUGCAUGGGAUAAAGAGCUCUUUGGCAAAAUUGAAAUUGAAAUAAAAACAAUAAAUUAGAAGUUGGUCUGCGGCCCAACUAUUAGGUGCUAGUUGGAAUUGUAUUUCGGUUGAGAAUUUCUUUUAUGCCGUUUUUUUGUCCCUGAAUCCUAGGUAGCUCACUCAUGUUAACAAAUUCCUGUUAUUCUUAUGCUACCUUUCAAUUUGUGGAAUAAUUCUUGCAUCUCUGCCUUCCUGUUUCAUUGUCAGCAAGGAUUCUUGAAGCGCGAUAUCAUUAUUUUGUUUUAAGUCUUAAAUUGUUGUCUUCAAUGUGCAGGAAAACAGCUGGUUCCUACAGAGAGCUUGAAGCAAGGAGUAACAGAGUCAAUGAGUUGGAGAAAAUCUAUAUGGAUAUGGCAAUGCAGAAGGAAUUAAAGGUAUUGACAUCUAAAUUUCUUUGCUCAGUUCUGGGAGUUUGGUUGUCUGUGGAUAGUUUUGAAUACGUUUCCGUCUAAAUUACAGAAAAAGGGUAAAAAACGCAAACUAUGUGAAGAUGAGAUUGUCUCCCCAACAUCCAACCCUGUAUUCAAGUGGCGGGCAGAGCGGAAGCGGUAAAAAGGUGUGUGUUGAUCCAUUAUUAGCUUUUCGGUGCAAUGGAAAUCACGCACUUAACUCGGUGUGUUUUUGCAGGAAUGAGCCUGCUAGUGACAUCUAGGCCCUGGAAAAGAAGAAGUACGGACCUUAUGUACCGGAAAUUUUGUCAUCGUUAUUAUGUCAUCGUUAUGAAUUUUUAAAGUUGCGAAGUCUGUUGGAGUAUGAUAUUUAAACUGAAACUUUCUACCGAGUAGUGACUACUUGAUCUCUGACCAAACAGUUGUUGCAAAAUCGCCCUUCAAUUGAGUUACAUAGGUUCGGAAACAGGACAAUCCGACUCGAAAACGAUAUGGUCAAACAUGAAUCGGACAUGAACCAUUAAAAUGAGUUGUCACCAUGGCAGCAGUGUCGAGUGCUUCAUUGACAUGAACACCUCAACGGUGUGGAUUGGCAACCGCGUGAGGGUCAAGACUCCACAGUACGUACUCACAAAACACGAAUUGCCAUCCCUGUCCAUAGCCAUAACUAAAAAUACAUUUUAACGUUUUCACUAUCAUGUAAAGUGCAAAAACAUUCAUCUGAAUAGAUCAAAUUCAACGGUCAAAUGUGUCGAUAAGCGCCUGUAAAUACUCAAGAAAAAUAGCACAAAUGAAAGAGUGAAACCUGAGAAAACAAUACAGCAUAAGAAUCAUAUGAUGCUCAAACUUUGAAGCAUUGUCAUUAGGUAUUUAAACCCACAAAUAACACAUCCAAAAAACAACGCAAAAGACAUUCCCACAAAAAUCUUCUAUCUAUCAAGAAGCUAGAAGAUGAUUAUAUUCACAAACAUUACUAACCUACAACCCUAACCCUAAAACCCAACUACAUUUCCAGAAACAAAGACCCCAAUAACCUACUUUGACCUACUGGACAGAACUAAAUCUGAAAUGGAACAUAUUAGUCCGGCAACGAUCGAC